GUCAGCUUACCAGAUAAACACCAACAGAAAUCACUUCCCAGCCACCAAAGACUUCCCAUUCGAUCCGAUCACCACAAAAAACCUCAAGCUUCUCGACCGGUUUAUUAGUUGUUCAACAGCCAACACCAUGAGCUCUCGGAUGGCCGGAGCCACGUUGCUGCGCCACCUGGGCCCCCACCUCUUCGCCGCCGCCGAGCCGGCGUCCGGGCUCGCCGCGAGCGCGAGGGGUAUCCUGCCCGCCGCCGCGAGGAUCUUCCCCGCGCGGAUGGCCAGCACCGCCGCCGGCGCGCAUGCCAAACAAGAAGGUGACGCUGAAAAGCCCGAGAGCGCCACAGCGCCGGAGCAGAACAAGAAGCCCGUGGCGAGCUACUGGGGCAUCGAGCCGCGGAAGCUCGUCAAGGACGACGGCACGGAGUGGCCGUGGUUCUCCUUCAGGCCGUGGGACACGUACCGGCCGGACACGUCCAUCGACGUGGCCAAGCACCACGAGCCCAGGGCGGUGGCGGACAAGGUGGCGUACCUCAUCGUGCGGACGCUGCGCGCGGGCAGCGACCUCUUCUUCCAGCGCCGCCACGCUAGCCACGCGCUGCUGCUUGAGACGGUGGCGGCGGUGCCGCCCAUGGUGGGCGGCGUGCUGCUGCACCUGCGCUCGCUCCGCCGAUUCGAGCACAGCGGCGGCUGGAUCCGCGCGCUCAUGGAGGAGGCCGAGAACGAGCGCAUGCACCUCAUGACCUUCAUGGAGGUGACGCAGCCCCUGUGGUGGGAGCGCGCGCUCGUGCUCGCCACGCAGGGCGUCUUCUUCAACGCCUACUUCGUCGGCUACCUCAUCUCCCCCAAGUUCGCGCACCGCUUCGUCGGCUACCUCGAGGAGGAGGCCGUCCACUCCUACACCGAGUACCUCAAGGACCUUGAGGCCGGCUUGAUCGAGAACACGCCCGCGCCGGCCAUUGCCAUCGACUACUGGCGCCUCCCCGCCGACGCCAGGCUCAAGGACGUCGUCAUCGCCGUGCGCGCCGACGAGGCGCAUCACCGCGACGCCAACCACUACGCAUCGGACAUCCAUUACCAGGGAAUGACGCUGAAUCAGACGCCUGCGCCGCUCGGCUACCACUGAUCAGUUCAAUGGACCACCAUAGAUCGAUGCCUGCCCAGUCCUUCCGCCCAGUCCACCGCUGUCACCUACUACCACUGCCGCCGACGUUUGUCCCGUUAAUUUGAGAUGGAUUGUUGCGCGCGCAGUAUGUUUAUGUCCAUGAGUUUUUUGUGUCACUUUGUACCCAAAGAUAUGUUUUUGUAAGCCGGUAAUUCUUGUACAUAUGAAUUGAUUACUUUUCUUGAAAAAAAUAUGUGAUAUUUGGGUACAAAGUGAUACUAUUACUUGACAAUAAAAUAUUUUUAACGGACGUGCAAUAUGCAUACUUUCCUAGGCAAAAUACCACCCACCAAAACAUCUCAUCGUUAAAGCUCUUAAAUCAUAAAAUCUCAAUGGAUUACCAUAUUGACGGGUUGUUGAUAAAAGAAAUCCAUAUAUGCUCUCCGAUCUAUUACUAUUUGCACUGACCAUGUUUAGAUGAAUGAUCUCCAAGAGAGAUGUGUGUAUGUUAGUUGGGUUACCUUGACAGUAAUCUAUCCCAGUGACAGAAAGAAAGAAAUCUAUUAUGUUAUUUUCACUAAGGAUGAAAAGAUAGCUACCUAGUUGUCUCGGUGACGAGUUGGAGGUAAGAGAAUAUAUUGUCAUUAAAAGAUAGCUGCCUAGUUGCCUCGGUGAUGAGUUAGAGGUAAAGAGAAUAUAUUGUCAACAUUACGUUACCCUCUGUUUAAUGCAACACUCUACUUUUACUUAAUACUCCUAGAGAUGCAUGCUGGAUAACAGUCUCGAGCAGAGUAUUAGUUGUAUAUGUAGUUGGAUAACAGUCUAGAGAUAUAGGGACGUAAUGACUAUAUGAAAUCAUGAUGUAUAUUAUCAAUCAUGAAAAUGUAAUUUAAUCGAUACACAACUGUAAUUUGUUCACCACACAGAUGCUAUGUUUUUUUCCAGAGAUGCCACUAGUGAAGUUAUGGAUCCGGUCAUAAUCACGACCUCGAUCACUUGUGUUGUUAUUCUUUACAAUCUGUACCAUUUUUAUUUUUUGUUUUAUAGAUCAUAUGAUACGCUUAUCUUUGUAACUAUCAAAGCUGCGGAGAUUGAUAACCUCAUUAGACAAGUUGGGGCCAAGAAGAAGUUCAUAAUUGUAUGCAAGUACUGAUAAUUAACUCGUAACUUGAGCACCCCACGGUUUGAUAACAUUGGUUCUUCACUGAGGGAAAUAUGCUGCUUCCUACAAACCCUUACUCUUCGUGGUUCAGCGAUUUCCUAUAAAUAUAAUUGGAAGUGCUACACCGAAUGCUUGACAAAUCACGAGAAUUGAUUCAAAGUUGUGAAAGUAUUCAUGCACCACCCUUGCCAUAUCCCCAUGAUCAACAUAUAUGGGCCCAUCCAUCUUGAGGUUACCGAGAAAACUCUUGCACUUCAUGUUAUUGGCAUGUAGGUUAAAAUAACUGUGUAUCUGCGCCCCCUCCUUCGGAGAGAGCAACCUGGAUUGUUGGUGCACCAUGGUCAUCUUGAGUGAUGCUAGACCUAGAAAUUUCUUGUUGAGCAAUUUGUGUAGACCUCUCAUGCGCAGAAAGAGGCUCAGGCUCCAUAUCAACACCUAAGCGCAAGAUCAACUCAGUGGCAAUCCAGGUCCAGAGCUUGGUAUUACUAUUACCUAUGAAUUUUUCACUCCAACUUUUCAAUUGUCCGGCCGCAACCCUCUUUUUAGCAUGCACCCUCUUAAAUAGAUUUUUAAUUCGCGUGAUAUCCAUACACCAGCUACCACAUCCUUGAAGCAUGGCAACUUCGGCUAAUAGGACUCAAAUUAGAAGCGGCUGACAGAGUGGGGAUUGGCGACAAGAUCCAUAAGCAGCGGGUAGUGGUCAUAAGCAAGGUUUUGGCUAUCGAUAUGAUAUUUUCUUUGCCUUAAGAUGGAAUUUGUGGAUAUGCUGGUUACCCAAAAAUACUACACAACUACCACUUGAAAUAUUUCAAACAAAAUUUAAAUAAAAAAUUCUAGCUUAUACAAAUAGGUAUUGAACUCCCUAGAUAAAAAACUAUGAGGCUUACAUGAUGGUAGCCCUUCUAGGUUAAACAUGUUUGUACAUUAUUGUGAACUUACGUCUGUAGUUAGUACUCUAUGUGAUAACAUCUUCUAGUAUGGGGCGAUGCAGUAGAUAAAAAUAGAAAAAAAAUAUACAUCUUGGGACUCAAAACUGGCUAACGUGUUGAUGCGGAGGGCACUCUCUCACCCCUGCACCACAUCCUAGUACUAUCCGACGAGAGAUGGUGCCAUAUUUAGGUAUAGAUGUAGCGUUUAAAUUCAAAAUGUCAAAACAAAUCGGUAUUUGUUUUUGGCAUAUGCUUAUUUUAUGGGAGCACCUACUGGUCAGUCGACUGAGCCCCAUACUCAUUUCAGUCGAGCAGGGAGGAGUGGAAUGCACUGUUUUCAUUUCUCCAAUGCUUGACGUGUUUGACAAAACACAAGCCCAACCGGCUUGCUUAGCUCUUACCUAUACAUCCCGGUUAGCUAUGCCACAUGCAAUGUAACCACAAGCAUCAAAACAUGCAAUGCACAAUGAUGGGCAGUGGAAGGAAACCAACAACGCAUGGACACUCCCUGCGAAUUAGUAAAAAUACUUCAAUAGAAAAUNNNNNNNNNNNNNNNNNNNNNNNNNNNNNNNNNNNNNNNNNNNNNNNNNNNNNNNNNNNNNNNNNNNNNNNNNNNNNNNNNNNNNNNNNNNNNNNNNNNNNNNNNNNNNNNNNNNNNNNNNNNNNNNNNNNNNNNNNNNNNNNNNNNNNNNNNNNNNNNNNNNNNNNNNNNNNNNNNNNNNNNNNNNNNNNNNNNNNNNNNNNNNNNNNNNNNNNNNNNNNNNNNNNNNNNNNNNNNNNNNNNNNNNNNNNNNNNNNNNNNNNNNNNNNNGAAUAGGCGAUUAAAAAUAAUUACGGUUGAGGCUUGAACAAAUACGGAAUAAACCUAGCGGUUAAUUUGUCAAGCACAAAACCUAAAAAGACUAGGCUCACCUAUGUGCACCAACAACUUAUGCUAAGCAAGACAAACAACUAUGUGAUAGCAAGAUAUAUGACAAGGAACAAUAUGGCUAUCACAAAGUAAAGUGCAUAAGUAAAGGGCCCGGGUAAGAGAUAACCAAGGCACACGGAGACGACGAUGUAUCCCGAAGUUCACACCCUUGUGGAUGCUAAUCUGCGUUUGGAGUGGUGUGGAGGCACAAUGCUCCCCAAGAAGCCACUAAGGCCACCGUAAUCUCCUCACGCCCUCGCACAAUGCAAGAUGUCGUGAUUCCACUAAGGGACCCUUGAGGGCGGUCACCGAACCCGUACAAAUGGCAACCCUUGGGGGCGGUCACCGAACCCGUACACUUUCGCAACCCUUGGGGGCGGUCACCGAAACCCGUCAAAUUGCUUGGGGCGAUCUCCACAACCUAGCUAAUUGGAGACUCCGACGCUUGCCGAGAGCUUUACACCACAAUGAUUGAGCUCUGAACACCACCAACCGUCUAGGGCGCCCAAGCACCCAAGAGGAACAAGCUCAAGGGUACCAAGCACCCAAGAGUAAUAAGCUACUCACUUCACUUCCACGUAUCACCGUGAAGAACUCAAACCGAUGCACCAAAUGCAAUGGCAAGGGCACACGGAGUGCCCAAGUCCCUCACUCUCAAAUCCCACCAAAGCAAUGAAAGCUAUGGAGGAAAAUGAGAGGAAGAACAAGAAGGAGAACACCAAGAACUCCAAGAUCUAGAUCCAAGGGGUUCCCCUCACAUAGAGGAGAAAAGUGAUUGGUGGAAAUGUGGAUCUAGAUCUCCUCUCUCUUUCCCCCCAAAAACUAGCAAGAAUCCAUGGAGGAAUUGAGAGAUAGCAAGCUCCAAGAGGUCAACAAUGGUGGGGGGAAAACUUGCUCAGAUCUCUUAGGUUGGAGGAGGAAGAAGGGGGUAUAAAUACCCCCAAGAAAAAUAUGACCGUUGUCCCCCGGGCACCUGGACAAAAGGAGUCCGGGCACCCGGACAACCCAGAGAAAAAGCCACUAAACUCCGAGCACCCAGGGGAAAACCCUGGGCACCCGGACGAACAAGGGAAGCACAGCGGCAGGGGGCCGGGCACCCGGGGGGUCCCAACCCCGGGCACCCGGAGGGGGCCGAGAGGAGGAGGCGGAGGAGCCCGGGCACCCGGAUCCAAGACCCCGGGCACCCGGGGUGAUCAGAGGAGGUGAGGGAGCGCCCCGGAUGACCCCGGGCACCUGGACCGGCCAGAGAGGUCACUAAGGAGGGCCUCGGGUGACCCCGGGCACCCGCACUAGGCAGAGAGAAGCGGGAACCGGUAAAAUUGAAACGGCAACAACUUUUGCAAACGAACUCCAAAUUUGAUGAAACCAAGUUUGAUGGAAAGCUAAAGACAAGGGCUAACACAAUCUUGAUAGAAAUAUCAAGAAAUAGAAAUUGAGAAAAUACCCAAAAUAAAAUGGUGAGAACCCUUUUUCAAAUAAUACCGGUAAAAACUCAAACACCGAAAACGCAAAAGAAGAUGCAUAGGAAAUCGGUUUUCGAUGAACUAGAGCUUGUCACGAAGAUAACCACAAUCUCUAAAACCUCACAAAGAGAAUAUCCAAUGAAGAACCAACAAAUAUGAUGAUGCCAAGAAUGCAAUGGUUUGAGCUCUCAUCGAAUGAUACGGUCAAGCUACUCACUCGAGAGCCCCCCUUGAUAGUACGACUAUCGACCCUAUGAUCCGGUCUCCCAACUAACACCAUGAGACCGGUAAAAUAGAAAAACUAUAAAGGACAAACCUUUUUCUUGCACAUAGUACACUUGAGCUAGAUGAUGACGGUCUUGACUCCCUCAAGUUGGACCACCUUUCUUGAUUGCAUUGGCUCGAUGAAGACUAGUAGAUUGCUCCCCCAUAUUCCACUAUGGGUGAGCCACUCUUCCAAAUAUCUUCACAAGUCCAUUGUCACCACAAUGGAGGACAAGCUUAAAGCAUGAUCUCUUCGUGAUGCUCCACUCUUGGAGAUGCUCCACUUGAACUUGCACACCGCAAUCUUGAUGACGAUCACCACUUGAUGUCAUCCUCCAUGGGUUGUAUGAGAUCUUCCUCAUACCAUGGGAUCACUUGAUCCCUUUCGGUACAUCUUCUACGCUUUGUGUGUUGAUCAACUUGAUAGUCUUGAUCAACCUUGUAUCAUGUCUUCUACAUGACCAAUCUUUGGAUAAUUCCUUGAAUAGCACAUUGGUAAACACAUAAACUCCUUGAAACCAACACAUGGACUUCAAGAAAAACCUAUGGACAAAUCCUUCAAAUAUAACUCAAGCCAACCAUUAGUCCAUAGAGAACGUCAUCAAUUGCGUGUUGAUCAACUUGAUUCACACUUGACUUAGUCUUGAUCAACCUUGUAUCAUGUCUUUUACAUGACCAAUCUUUGGAUAAUUCCUUGAAUAGCACCUUGGUCAACACAUAAACUCCUUGAAACCAACACAUGGACUUCAAGAAAAACCUAUGGACAAAUCCUUCAAAUAUAACUCAAGGCAACCAUUAGUCCAUAGGGAACGUCAUCAAUUACCAAAACAAAACAUGGGGGCACCGCAUGUUCUUUCAAUCUCCCCCAUUUUGGUAAUUGAUGACAAUCACUUUCAAGAGCGUUUAUAUAAGGAAUUAUGCAUCACCAUGCAAUGCAACAACCAAUAAUGCAUGCGUAUGAGAUGCAAAAGUUUAGGACCAAAACCAAAGCAAGAAGAAAUAACUCUCUAAACUUCUCCACAAAACUCUCUGAAACUUCUCCCCCAUUGGCAUCGAUUGCUAAAAUGGGCGAAAAGCUUAGAAGGCCAAUAUAAAAUGUGUUCCUCAAUAGAUUGUGUAUUUCUCAAAAGGAGUGGAAUGUAAUACACAUAUACAAAUAUACAUACUAGGAGGAAUACAAACUAUACUGAGGAACCAAAGAUUGCUAAAGGAUGAUAUGUCACAAAGAUAUAACAAAGACAUAAACAAUCAUUCAAAAGAUACCAAUUGAAACAUGCAAUGAAAAGAUACCAAUUGAACCAACUAGACCAAUGAUCCUACGAGCCACAUGAAUAAUAGAUAUUAUGAUAUGAGCAUAGGAGUGUUCUAAAGGAACUAGAGAAGAUCCCCAUGAUUUGUGCAUAAAUAAGAUUUUUUUAAUUUGGAUACAAAGUGCACAAAAUAAGAUCAUCACUCCCCCAAAAUCAAUAGAACCUCACAAAAAGUGCAAGCGGGCAUGUAGGAAACUAAGCCUAUUACUUGCAACAAACAAAUGGUUGACCAACAUAUAAAAGAGGCAACUUAGAAAUAGGCUCAACCAACUUGAGAAGACUAAUAUAACUAUGCAAGACAUGUACUUCCCACACACAUCUAGCAAAGGGGCUCACAAGCACACUCAAUAUGAAAAAAGAAUAACCAACGCUUGUGACAACCCAUGGUGAAGAAAGAAAAUGAUAGCAUUGUCAAGAGGAGGGAUACCAAUCGAAUGGCAAAAGCCUCAUCGAGACAAGCAAGAGCAAACAGGUACCUUCACCACACAAGAGUGCAUCAAGAUGUAAUGAGAUAAGACCUGCACAUAAGGCACACACUUUCACGGAGCCACCAAAGAAAUAAUACAAGAAGGAAAAGGUGGACGUGAAAGAAAGGGAUAUCAACUAGAUAUGCAACUUCUCUCAAGUGUAUAAGAUUCUAGGUAGAUGAAGAUCAUGAUGAUAUCAAUCCACAAAGAAGGAUGUCACACGACAAAAAGAAAAGAGUAAGGUAUCCACAAGGAAGUCAUAAAUAUACCAAUAAGAUAUUUGCUUGAAAGCAUAGCACAUGGCUAGAUAUGGUCUUAUUGUAAAUGAAUUCUAACCACACGAACAUCAAAGACAUCACAACUAGCAAUAAGAGAUCAUUGUUGGGAUGCUUUGAGAAAGGAAACAAGUAUCACAAGAAAGAAUGAAUUACAUGCCAUGAUACAACCUACACAAGAUUGAUGCACAAAAUGUGUGCAUAAAGUAGAUGAUGAUACUUGUUACCGAGAUAGAAUUGGAAGGAUGUAGUAGAUACCAAUUGAAGGUAGAUAGCAGUUCAUUGAUCAUCCUAGCUUGACUCCAAUAAGCACAUGGUGACAACGCCGUCCUUGUGAGUGAGCCGAGCAUCCAAUGCAUAUCCAAUUGUUCCUAGAACAACAACACAAACUAAAUGGUACCCAAACUCAUUGGGACCAAAGAGUUAGAAACACCAAUACAUAGGACAAACUCCAUAUAAAUAUGUGCACAUAGAUAUGAAAAUAAAUUUCAUGCACAUCCCAUUCAAUUUGAGACUUGGUGGAGUUCCCCUUAUAUAUUGGGUCAAACAAAGAAAGCAUGCCAAAGAAAAUACAUGAAGUAAAUAUGCAUGCUAAAGACUUUCAAGACCCGAUACCAAAUGGAAAAGAAAUACCAAGUGAAAAUGAGAUACCAAUGAAGAAAAGCAUCACUUGGAAGAUAUCAAUUAAAAGAUACAUCAAGGAAUGAGAUAUCCAUUGAUACACGCAAAGUAAAAGAUAUUGAACUCCCAAAGGAGAGGAUGGUUCCGAACAAACCAAGCCCUCUAAAAAGUUUCAUGAUGGCACAAGAACCAGAAAGAAAUGGCUUCCUUCCACCAAAGCACACUUGAUAAGGAUCACAAGAUGAGUGUUCUAUAGAAAAUAUGAUAGCUCCCCCAAGAGUUGUGCAUUAUAGAGAAUUUGCAUUUGAAUACAAAAUGCACACGGAGGGAUCACCACUUUCACUAUAUCUAGAAAACACUAGACAAGAUCAAGAAAUCAAUAAGAUCCACAAGUGGUAUGGACGGCAUUGCGAGUUGACACAAUCCUUGGCAAGUGAUAAGGCAAAUAAAAGCAAAAGCCAAUGUUAAGAUGAUCAACAAUAUCUACCACAUAAAUUAUUACCAAUUGUCAAGAGAACAAGUAUUUGGAAAUAAUUCCCGGUGGUAGAUUGCAAAGAUAUCCAACAUCAUCUUCACACCAAACACAACAACAAAUUGCAACUUGUAGAGCUAACAUGCCACCUAGGAACAAGAUAAUUUACAAUACCAAUUCAAGGUGACAAUAUCUCAAAUGCACACAUUUUCUAGGCUUGUAGUAUGAACAUAGCACAUCACUCCCCCAUAAUGUGACACCAAAGAAAACUUAACAAGAGGCAAUAAGAAUCCAACAAGAGAUAAUUAAUGGACUAUUCAGAAUUUGAAUUUCUCAUGAGAAGACAUACCACAUAGAUACUAGAUAAUCUUGUAAUAUCACUACUAGGUGGUAUUCCUCGUGUACACACAUUUAUAGGAUCUUGAAGUGCACAAAGCACGUCACUCCCCCAAAAUGGGAUGUUCCAUUAAUCUCUCACAAGAUCCAACUAAGAUACAACAAGAUGAAAAAAGGCUCAACACAACUCUCACAGGUACAUGAUGUGCAAACCAUCAUACACACUUGAUUACUCAAGUUAAGCAAAUUGGAAGCACAACAUAUACAAACACAUGCAAGGUACAAAACCAAAACAUGCAAGGGGGCAAGUAACUUUUAAUGUAAACAAUUUAAGUACAAGUUACCGCAAGGAGGCACAUUAGAUAUAAGAUAGAAACCCAAUUGACUUGUCUUGAGACAAUAUGAAUGAUGAAGGCCCCUUAAUCUUCAUGAUGUAGCCAAGUCUCCAAUGCCCUCCAACAACACCUAUUGAUCAAGUUUGAGCUUGUUGGUCCCCAACCAAGUUGGGUCCUAAGAGGUUAGUCACAAUAGGCUUGGCUACCCAAAUGGUUCUUUUCUUGACACCACUUUGAGUACCAACAAAUUUGGCAAACACAUUGCUAACCUUAUCCUUCCCAAGAGAAUAGACAUCAUCAAUUAGAAUAGGGUUGGAUAAGGAACCAUUCAUGCAUGAAGAAGCGACGUGACCUUUCUCACGACAUAGGUAGCAAUGUCUAUUCUUCACUUUCUUCUCACUUGAUUUCUCAACUUGAGAAGUAUUAGCUUGGGUCUUCUUGGGAAGAGGCCUUUCUUCAGCUUGAGGUUGAGCAUGAGAGUGAACUUGCAGCCGCUUUCCUUGUUGCUUGUCACUAAUGAGCUUCUUCUUCAAUGGGCAAGAUCUAACAUGAUGCCUUUCAAUUUGGCACUUGAAGCAAACAAUCUUGGCCAAAUUCUUGACUUGUUCUUGGCCCUUCUUCUUGUUCAUCUUGGACUUCUUCUUCUUAUUGGAGUUGAAUCCAAGUCCACCUUUGUCAUUGGGGGAUUUUUGCACACUCAAGAUAUUGUUGAGUGUGGACUUCCAUUCAUGACACUUUUGCAAGUCAAUCUUCAAAGAAGUGACUUGGGCCUUGAGCUCUUUGAUUUCCUCUACAUGGUUAGUCUCAACAAAAGUACUAGAGGAAGUAUAAGCUUCAACGUUAGAGCAACAAGGCAGGGAAAGUAAUUCAUCACAAGAUGUAGCAACAUUAUGAGUGGAUGAAUUACGAGGACUAGCACAUGGCAAUAUAUCAUUUAGACUUGAAAUAGUGCUAGUAUCAACAUGAGGCUCACUAGAUAUUACCUUAGUCAUCAUAGCCUUAUGAGAUAUCUUUAGCACAUUAUGGGAUACUAGAAGAUCAUCAUGAGAGCUUGUGAGCUUUAUAUGACUUUCUUCCAAUUUCUCAUAAUUGCUAAAUAGCAACUCAAGUUGAGCCCUUAGCUCAACAUUCUCCUUCGAAAUGGAUGCUUCACAAGAAAUAGAGUUAGUAGCACAAGAAUCAUAAUUAACAACAAGAGGAGAAGGCAACUUGGCAAGCUCUUUCGAAUAUGAAGCUUUAAGUUGUGCAUGAGACUCGGUGAGUCCGAUGAGCUCACUCUUAAUGACCCUUGAGCUAUUUUCAAGGUGCCGGAAGUCCUCAAGGAGUUUAGCAUGCGCAAAUUCAAGCUUAUCAUUUUUAGUUUCAAAAUCAUUGGCCACCUCAAGAGCUCUAUCAUGAGAUUCCCUCACUCUAGGUAAUUCUAGAGCAAAAGUCUCCUCAAGAGAUUCCUUGGUGGUUUGUUCAAGUUCAAGAGCUUGAGAUAGGUCCGCAAUCUCAUUAGCGUAAUCACUCUCGUGACCUUCCAUUUUCUCAAUGGUGACCUCAUGCUCCUCGAGAUGAGAUUCCAACUCCUCAAUGUAUUUCUUGCCCUCAAUGGCAAUAGACAUGAUUUCCAUGAAGUUGGAACAAGCAAUUUUAUUCUUAUGAAGAGCUUUCAAAAUCAUUUCCCCUUUAAUUUUUAAGGAGGCAACAUUAUCAUUCUCUUCAUCAAUAUUCUCAUCCUCAUUAGCAUCAACAUCGUCAUCAAGAGAUAUAUUGGGAUUCGAAGUAGGAGAUACCUUCAAAGCCUUAGCCAUAAGGCAAAAGUGAGAAGAAAUAGAUGAUGAUGUAAGAUCCCUUGAAGCACCAAUCAAGACCCCAUCUUGUUCCAUGGAGUGUUGGGUUUCCUCUACAUUGUUAGCACAACAACUAGAGGAAAUAGCGGCAUUUUUAUCAAUGCAACAAGACAUAGCAAGCAUAUCAUCAUGUGAUUUAGUCAAACAAUUUCUACAUGAUAUGCAAGGACUAUCAACACAAGCAUGUGAAAUAUGUAGGGUGCUCGAGGUGUCAACGUCCAAAGAUGAAGCAUUGCAAUAAGAUAGUGAUGAAGAAUCAUCAACAAUAUGCACACUAUCAUCAUUGUAAUGACCAACACUACUCACCGUAUCUUUACCUUGUGGCAAUCCACAUGUAGGUGAAGUAGAAGAAGUUGAGAAGACAACACGGCCUGAGGUGGAGGAAGAACCAUCAUCCCCACAAAACUUGGACAUACCAUAUUUAUCUUGAAGCUCUGUCCACAACUCAUAAGCAUCCCGGAAUGGCAUGAGUUGAAAUAUAACUACAUUGCUCAAAGCAUCGAAAAGCACAUUAGUUUUUCUGAUCCUCUAAAGAUAAUCUUUGGGGAUCCUUUGGAGGAGAAAAACCCAUAUCUACAAUUCGCUCUAAAUUUGGGUCCAUGACCCUAAAGAGAUUAAGCAUGCGAAUUAUCCAAACAUCAAAAUUGUACCAUCAAAACUAAGAGUGUCAGAGAAUCCUAAUCCCCUAGUCGACAUCCUAACUCUCUAGGAGGUUAAACCUAAUAAAAAGAGACGAGGCUCUGAUACCAAUUGAAAGAUCAUGGAUGUUGCCUAGAGGGGGGGGAUAGGCGAUUUAAAAUAAUUACAGUUGAGGCUUGAACAAAUGCGGAAUAAACCUAGCGGUUAAUUUGUCACAAAACCUAAAAAGACUAGGCUCACCUAUGUGCACCAACAACUUAUGCUAAGCAAGAUAAACAACUAUGUCAUAGCAAGAUAUAUGACAAGGAACAAUAUGGCUAUCACAAAGUAAAGUGCAUAAGUAAAGAGCUCGGGUAAGAGAUAACCAAGGCACGCGGAGACGACGAUGUAUCCCGAAGUUCACACCCUUCUGGAUGCUAAUCUCCGUUUGGAGCGGUGUGGAGGCACAAUGCUCCCCAAGAAGUGCUACCUCUUGAGCACUGCGUUGGUUUUCCCUUGAAGAGAAAAGGGUGGUGCAGUAAAGCAGCGUAAGUAUUUCCCUCAGUUUUUGAGAACCAAGGUAUCAAUCCAGUAGGAGGCCACACACGAGUCCCUCGCACCUACACAAACAAAUAAGAUCCUCGCAACCAACACAAUAAAGGGGUUGUCAAUCCCUUCACGGUCACUUACGAAAGUGAGAUCUGAUAGAUAUGAUAAGAUAAUAUUUUUGGCAUUUUUAUGAUAAAGAUGCAAAGUAAAAUAAAAGGCAAUAAAAAUAACUAAGUGUUGGAAGAUUAAUAUGAUGGAAAAUAGACCCGGGGGCCAUAGGUUUCACUAGUGGCUUCUCUCGAGAGCAUAAGUAUUAUGCUGGGUGAACAAAUUACUGUUGAGCAAUUGACAGAAUUGAGCAUAGUUAUGAGAAUAUCUAGGUAUGAUCAUGUAUAUAGGCAUCACGUCCGCGACAAGUAGACCGACUCCUGCCUGCAUCUACUACUAUUACUCCACACAUCGACCGCUAUCCAGCAUGCAUCUAGAGUAUUAAGUUCAAAAGAACGGAGUAACGCUUUAAGUAAGAUGACAUGAUGUAGAGGGAUAAACUCAUGCAAUAUGAUAUAAACCCCAUCUUGUUAUCCUCGAUGGCAAUAAUACAAUACGUGCCUUGCUGCCCCUACUGUCACUGGGAAAGGACACCGCAAGAUUGAACCCAAAGCUAAGCACUUCUCCCAUUGCAAGAAAGAUCAAUCUAGUAGGCCAAACCAAACUGAUAAUUCGAAGAUACUUGCAAAGAUAACCAAUCAUACAUAAAAGAAUUCAGAGAAGAUUCAAAUAUUAUUCAUAGAUAAACUUGAUCAUAAACCCACAAUUCAUCAGUCUCAACAAACACACCGCAAAAGAAGAUUACAUCGAAUAGAUCUCCAUGAGAAUCGUGGAGAACUUUGUAUUGAGAUCCAAAGAGAGAGAAGAAGCCAUCUAGCUAAUAACUAUGGACCCGAAGGUCUGAGGUAAACUACUCACACAUCAUCGGAGAGGCUAUGGUGUUGAUGUAGAAGCCCUCCGUGAUCAAUGCCCCCUCCGUCGGAGCUCUGGAAAAGGCCCCAAGAUGGGAUCUCACGGGUACAGAAGGUUGCGGCGGUGGAAUUAGGUUUUUGGCUCCGUAUCUGGUAGUUUGGGGGUACGUAGGUAUAUAUAGGAGGAAGAAGUACGUCGGUGGAGCAACGUGGGCCCCACGUGGGUGGAGGGCGCGCCCAGGGGGGUAGGCGCGCCCCCUACCUUGUGCCCUCCUGGUUGCUUUCUUGACGUAGGGUCCAAGUCCUCUGGAUCAUGUUUGUUCCAAAAAUCACGUUCCCGAAGGUUUCAUUCCGUUUGGACUCCGUUUGAUAUUCUUUUUCUACGAAACUCUGAAAUAGGCAAAAAACAACAAUUCUGGGCUGGGCCUCCGGUUAAUAGGUUAGUCCCAAAAUGAUAUAAAAGUGUAUAAUAAAGCCCAUUAAACAUCCAAAACAUAAUAUAAUAUAGCAUGGAACAAUCAAAAAUUAUAGAUACGUUGGAGACGUAUCAAGCAUCCCCAAGCUUAAUUCCUGCUCGUCCUCGAGUAGGUAAAUGAUAAAAAGAGAAUUUUUGAUGUGGAAUGCUACUUAGCAUAAUUUCAAUGCAAUUCUUCUUAUUGUGGCACGAAUGUUCAGAUUUGAUAUGAUUCAAUAUAAGUUUAAUGUUGACAUAAAAACAAUAAUACUUCAAGCAUGCUAACCAAGCAAUUAUGUCUUAUCAAAAUAACAUUGCCAAAGCAAGUUAUCCCUACAAAAUCAUAUAGUCUGGCUAUGCUCCAUCUUCCCCACACAAAAUAUUCAUAUCAUGUACAACCCCGGUUUUAGCCAAGCAAUUGGUUCAUACUUUUUAACGCGCUUCAGCCUUUUCAACUCUUACGCAAUACAUGAGCGCAAGCCAUGGAUAUAGCAUUAUGGUGGAAUUAGGUAUAAUGAUAGGGGUUAUGUUGGAAGACAAAAAGGGAGAAAGUCUCACAUCAACGAGGCUAAUCAAUGGGCUAUGGAGAUGCCCAUCAAUUGAUGUCAAUGCAAGGAGUAGGGAUUGCCAUGCAACGGAUGCACUUAGAGCUAUAAGUGUAUGAAAGCUCAAACAAAAGAAAUUAAGUGGGUGUGCAUCCAACUUGCUUACUCAUGAAGACCUCGGGCAUAUGAGGAAGCCCAUCAUUGGAAUAUACAAUCCAAGUUCUAUAAUGAAAUUUCCCACUAGUAUAUGAAAGUGACAAAAUGAGAGACUCUCUAUCAUGAAGAUCACGGUGCUACUCUGAAGCACAAGUGUGGUAAAAGGAUAGUAACAUUGUCCCUUCUCUCUUUUUCUCUCAUUUUUUUAUUUGGGCCUUUUCUCCUUUUUUUAUGGCCUCUUUUUUUAGUCCAGAGUCUCAUCCCGACUCGUGGGGGAAUCGUAGUCUUCAUCAUCCUUUCCUCACUUGGGACAAUGCUUUAAUAAUGAUGAUCAUCACACUUUUAUUUAAUUACAACUCAAUACUUAGAACAAAAUAUGACUCUAUGUGGAUGCCUCCGGCGGUGUACCGGGAUAUGCAAUGAAUCAAGAGCGACAUGUACGAAAGAAUUAUGAAUGGUGGCUUUGCCACAAAUACAAUGUCAACUACAUGAUCAUGCAAAGCAAUAUGACAAUGAUGGAGCGUGUCAUGAUAAACGAAACGAUGGAAAGUUGCAUGGCAAUAUAUCUCGGAAUGGCUAUGGAAAUGACAUAAUAGGUAGGUAUGGUGGCUAUUUUGAGGAAGAUAUAAGGAGGUUUAUGUGUGAUAGAGCGUAUCAUAUCACGGGGUUUGGAUGCACCGGCGAAGUUUGCACCAACUCUCAAGGUGAGAAAGGGCAAUGCACGGUACCGAAGAGGCUAGAAAAUUGCUGAAAGGUAAGUGUGCGUAUAAUCCAUGGACUCACAUUAGUCAUAAAGAACUCAUAUACUUAUUGCAAAAAUUUAUUAGCCCUCGAAGCAAAGUACUACUACGCAUGCUCCUAGGGGAAGGGUUGGUAGGAGUUAACCAUCGCGCGAUCCCGACCGCCACACAAAGGAUGACAAUCAAUAAAUACCUCAUGCUCCGACUUUGUUACAUAACGGUUCACCAUACGUACAUGCUACGGGAAUCACAAACUCCAGCAUAAAUAUUUUUCAAUUCCACAAUUACUCAACUAGCACAACCAUGAUAUUACCACCUUUAUAUCUCAAAACAAUUAUCAAGCAUCAAAUUUCUCAUGAUAUUAUAAUUAAAGCAAAUUGCCAUGCUGUUUUAAGACUCUCAAAAUAAUAUAAGUGAAGCAUGAGAGAUCAAUAGUUUCUAUAAAACAAAUCCACCGCCGUGCUCUAAAAGAUAUAAGUGAAGCACUAGAGCAAACUAUAUAGCUCAAAAAAUAUAAGUGAAGCACAUAGAGUAUUCUAAUAAAUUCCAAUUUAUGUGUGACUCUCUCAAAAGGUGUGUACAGCAAGGAUGAUUGUGGUAAACUAAAAAAAAAGACUCAAAUAAUACAAGACGCUCCAAGCAAAACACAUAUCAUGUGGUGAAUAAAAAUAUAGCUCCAAGUAAAGUUACCGAUGGAAGUAGACGAAAGAGGGGAUGCCUUCCGGGGCAUCCCCAAGCUUUGGCUUUUUGGUGUCCUUAGAUUAUCUUGGGGUGCCAUGGGCAUCCCCAAGCUUAGGCUUUUGCCACUCCUUGUUCCAUAAUCCAUCAAAUCUUUCACCCAAACCUUGAAAACUUCACAACACAAAACUCAGCAGAAAAUCUCGUGAGCUCCGUUAGCGAAAGAAAAGAAAACACCACUUCAAGGUACUGUAAUGAACACAUUAUUUAUUUAUAUUGGUGUUAAACCUACUGUAUUCCAACUUCUCUAUGGUUUAUAAACUAUUUUACUAGCCAUAGAUUCAUCAAAAUAAGCAAACAACACACGAAAAACAGAAUCUGUCAAAAACAGAACAGUCUGUAGUAAUCUGUAACUAAUGCAAACUUCUGGAACUCCAAAAAAUCUACCAAAAUAGGACGACCUAGACAAUUUGUUUAUUGAUAUGCUGCAAUUGGAAUAAAUAUUUUAUCACGUUCUGGUGAUUUUCAACAAUUGUUUUCGUGAACAGAAAGUUUCUGGAAUUUUCAGCAAGAUCAAAUAACUAUCAUCCAAGAAGAUCCUAUAGGUUAAACUUGGCACAAACACUAAUUAAAACAUAAAAACAAAUCUAACCAGAGGCUAGAUCAAAUAUUUAUUCCUAACCAGAAGCAAAAAGCAAAAAAACUAAAAAUAAAAUUGGGUUGCCUCCCAAGAAGCGCUAUCGUUUAACGCCCCUAGCUAGGCAUAAUGGCAAGGAUAGAUCUAGGUAUUGCCAUAAUAAUAGGAUAGAUCAUUAAAACUCAUUUCAUAUUCUCUACGUUCAGCAGCGAGUUUUCUUUGAGGCAAGCAAAAGUAAUCAAAAGGGCUAAAUUUAAUGGGACAAAAGUCCCCAAGAUCAACUUUAGGAGGUAUAGGUUCCCCCCUUCGGCCCUUCGUAUUGCACAACCAAUUCAUCAUUAUAAGCAUUCUUUUGUCAGAACUUUGUGAGCCUAUACUCGAGAGAAUAUCCUAGCUUGUUAUUUUGAAUAGCAAAAUCAUUAUUAAGUUCAGAAAUUCUAUCAACUAGAACAUUGGUAGGAACCUUUUUUCUAAGGUUCUCAUUAAAAGCAACAUAGUCUAGAGAUUGAAAACGCAUUAUGUCCUCUUGAUCAAAUAGGAUAGUUUCUAUGGGAGGACGGCCAGCGUCCACCCUAUAAUGCGCAAAGAUUUCUUUGGCCUCUUUUAUUAUAAAUCUGAACUCAUGAGCCAAAAAAAUAGUAGCGGCACGCUUAACACAAGAAUGCUCAAUAUUAGAAAAUUCUAGGAAAAUCCUUUGUAUGCAAGGGUGCAUGUGCAUAAAUUGCCUUUCAAGUUCAACUACAAGCAUGGCAAUAGCGUCCGCAAGACUACUAGUUCUAUGAAGAAUAGAGCUGCCCAUAGAAGGCAAAGCACCGACACAAGUAAAGAAAUCUUGAAUAACCCCUUUUCCAAUAACAUUACCACUACCAAUUCGGAAUUUUUUUGUAUGUAAGAUAGGGGGUUCUUCAGCAGGAGCAUCAAAAUUUUCCAUGUUAUCACUAUUGUCCAUAUCGAUAGUUUCCCCAAUUUCAGACAUAACGGCAGAAAGUGCGAGGAGCAAAAAGAAAGAGGAAGGCAAACGGAAAAGAGAGGGCGAAUAAAACGGCAAGGGUGAAGUGGGGGAGAGGAAAACGAGAGGCAAAUGCAAAUAAUGUAAUGCGGGAGAUAAGGGUUUGUGAUGGGUACUUGGUAUGUUGACUUUUGCGUAGACUCCCCGGCAACGACGCCAGAAAUCCUUCUUGCUACCUCUUGAGCACUGCGUUGGUUUUCCCUUGAAGAGGAAAGGGUGAUGCAGUAAAGCAGCGUAAGUAUUUCCCACAGUUUUUGAGAACCAAGGUAUCAAUCCAGUAGGAGGCCACACACGAGUCCCUCGCACCUACACAAACAAAUAAGAUCCUCGCAACCAACACAAUAAAGGGGUUGUCAAUCCCUUCACGGUCACUUACGAAAGUGAGAUCUGAUAGAUAUGAUAAGAUAAUUUUUUGGUAUUUUUAUGAUAAAGAUGCAAAGUAAAAUAAAAGGCAAUAAAAAUAGCUAAGUGUUGGAAGAUUAAUAUGAUGGAAAAUAGACCCGGGGGCCAUAGGUUUCACUAGUGGCUUCUCUCGAGAGCAUAAGUAUUACAGUGGGUGCACAAAUUACUGUUGAGCAAUUGACAGAAUUGAGCAUAGUUAUGAGAAUAUCUAGGUAUGAUCAUGUAUAUAGGCAUCACGUCCGCGACAAGUAGACCGACUCCUGCCUGCAUCUACUACUAUUACUCCACAUAUCGACCGCUAUCCAGCAUGCAUCUAGAGUAUUAAGAAAGAAUGGAGUAAUGCUUUAAGUAAGAUGACAUGAUGUAGAGGGAUAAACUCAUGCAAUAUGAUAUAAACCCCAUCUUGUUAUCCUCGAUGGCAACAAUACAAUACGUGCCUUGCUGCCCCUACUGUCACUGGGAAGGGACACCACAAGAUUGAACCCAAAGCUAAGCACUUCUCCCAUUGCAAGAAAGAUCAAUCUAGUAGGCCAAACCAAACUGAUAAUUCGAAGAGACUUGCAAAGAUAACCAAUCAUACAUAAAAGAAUACAGAGAAGAUUCAAAUAUUGUUCAUAGAUAAACUUGAUCAUAAACCCACAAUUCAUCCGUCUCAACAAACACACCGCAAAAGAAGAUUACAUCAAAUAGAUCUCCACGAGAAUCCUGGAGAACUUUGUAUUGAGAUCCAAAGAGAGAGAAGAAGCCAUCUAGCUAAUAACUAUGGACCUGAAGGUCUGAGGUAAACUACUCACACAUCAUCGGAGAGGCUAUGGUGUUGAUGUAGAAGCCCUCCGUGAUCAAUGCCCCCUCCGGCGGAGCUCCGGAAAAGGCCCCAAGAUGGGAUCUCACGGGUACAGAAGGUUGCGGCGGUGGAAUUAGGUUUUUGGCUCCGUAUCUGGUAGUUUGGGGGUACGUAGGUAUAUAUAGGAGGAAGAAGUACGUCGGUGGAGCAACGUGGCCCCAUGAGGGUGGAGGGCGCGCCCAGGGGGGUAGGCACGCCCCCUACCUCGUGCCCUCCUGGUUGCUUUCUUGACGUAGGGUCCAAGUCCUCUGGAUCACGUUUGUUCCAAAAAUCACGUUCCCGAAGGUUUCAUUCCGUUUGGACUCCGUUUGUUAUUCUUUUUCUGCGAAACUCUGAAAUAGGCAAAAACAACAAUUCUGGGCUGGGCCUCCGGUUAAUAGGUUAGUCCCAAAAUGAUAUAAAAGUAUAUAAUAAAGCCCAUUAAACAUCCAAAACAGAAUAUAAUAUAGCAUGGGACAAUCAAAAAUUAUAGAUACGUUGGAGACGUAUCAAGAAGCCACUAGGGCCACCGUAAUCUCCUCACGCUCUCGCACAAUGCAAGAUGUCGUGAUUCCACUAAGGGACCCUUGAGGGCGGUCACCGAACCCGUACAAAUGGCAACCCUUGGGGGCGGUCACCGAACCCGUACACUUUGGCAACCCUUGGGGGCGGUCACCGUAACCCGUCAAAUUGCUCGGGGAGAUCUCCACAACCUAAUUGGAGACCCCGACGCUUGCCCAGAGCUUUACACCACAAUGAUUGAGCUUCGAACACCACCAACCGUCUAGGGCACCCAAGCACCCAAGAGGAACAAGAUCAAGGGUACCAAGCACCCAAGAGUAAUAAGCUACUCAACUUCACUUCCACGUAUCACCGUGGAGAACUCAAACCGAUGCACCAAAUGCAAUGGCAAGGGCACACGGAGUGCCCAAGUCCCUCACUCUCAAAUCCCACCAAAGCAAUGAAAGCUAUGGAGGAAAAUGAGAGGAAGAACAAGAAGGAGAACACCAAGAACUCCAAGAUCUAGAUCCAAGGGGUUCCCCUCACAUAGAGGAGAAAAGUGAUUGGUGGAAAUGUGGAUCUAGAUCUCCUCUCUCUUUCCCCCCAAAAACUAGCAAGAAUCCAUGGAGGAAUUGAGAGAUAGCAAGCUCCAAGAGGUCAACAAUGGUGGGGGGAAAACUUGCUCAAAUUUCUUAGGUUGGAGGAGGAAGAAGGGGGUAUAAAUACCCCCAAGAAAAAUAUGACCGUUGUCCCCCGGGCACCCGGACAAAGGGGUCCGGGCACCCGGACAACCCAGAGAAAAAGCCACUAAACUCCGAGCACCUGGGGGAAAACUCCGGGAACCCGAACGAACAAGGGAAGCACAGCGACAGGGGGGCGGGCACCCGGAGGUCCCAACCUCGGGACCCGGAGGGAGCUGAGAGGAGGAGGCGGAGGAGCCCGGGCACCCGGGUCCAAGACCCCGGGCACCCGAGGUGAUCAGAGGAGGUGAGGGAGCUCCCCGGAUGACCCCGGGCACCCAAGGGGCAAGACCCCGGGCAUCCGGACCGGCCAGAGAGGUCACUAAGGAGGGGCUCGGGUGACCCCGGGCACCCGCACUAGGCAGAGAGAAGUGGGAACCGGUAAAAUUGAAACGACCACAACUUUUGCAAACGAACUCCGAAUUUGAUGAAACCAAGUUUGAUGGAAAGCUAAAGACAAGGGCUAACACAGUAUUGAUAGAAAUAUAGAGAAAUAUCAAUUGAGAAAAUACCCAAAAUAAAAUGGUGAGAACCCUUUCUCAAAUAAUACCGGUAAAAACUCAAACACCGAAAACGCAAAAGAAGAUGCAUAGGAAAUCGGUUUUCGAUGAACUAGAGCUUGUCACGGAGAUAACCACAAUCUCUAAAACCUCACAAAGAGAAUAUCCAAACAAGAACCAACAAAUAUGAUGAUGCCCAGAAUGCAAUGGUUUGAGCUCUCCCCAAACGAUACGAUCAAGCUACUCACUCGAGAGCCCCCCUUGAUAGUACAGCUAUCGAUCCUAUGAUCCGGUCUCCCAACUAACACCAUGAGACCGGUAAAAUAGAAAAAAUAUCAAGGACAAACCUUUUUCUUGCACAUAGUACACUUGAGCUAGAUGAUGACAGUCUUGACUCCCUCAAGUUGGACCACCUUUCUUCAUUGCAUUGGCUCGGUGAAGAUUAGUAGAUUGCUCCCCCAUACUCCACUAUGGGUGAGCCACUCUUCCGAACAUCUUCGCAAGUCCAUUGUCACCACAAUGGAGGACAAACUUAAAGCAUGAUCUCUUCAUGAUGCUCCACUCUUCGAGAUGCUCCACUUGAACUUGCACACCGCAAUCUUGAUGACGAUCACCACUUGAUGUCAUCCUCCAUGGGUUGUAUGAGAUCUUCCUCAUACCAUGGGAUCACUUGAUCCCUUUCGGUACAUGUUCUUGAAGGAAAUAUGCCAUAGAGGCAAUAAUAAAGUUGUUAUUUAUAUUUCCUCAUAUCAUGAUAAAUGUUUAUUAUUCACGCUAGAAUUUUAUUAACCGGAAACUUAGUACAUGUGUGAAUACAUAGACAAACAAAGUGUCACUAGUAUGCCUCUACUUGACUAGCUCGUUAAUCAAGGAUGGUUAAGUUUCCUAGCCAUAGACAUGAGUUUUCAUUUGAUGAACGAGAUCACAUAGUUAGAGAAUGAUGUGAUUGACAUGACCCAACCGUUAGCUUAGCACUAUGAUCGUUUAGUUUAUUACCAUUGCUUUCUUCAUGACUUAUACAUGUUCCUAUGACUAUGAGAUUAUGCAACUCCCGAAUACCGGAGGAACACUUAGUGUGCUAUCAAACGUCACAACGUAACUGGGUGAUUAUAAAGAUGUUCUACAGGUGUCUCCAAUGGUGUUUGUUGAGUUGGCAUAGAUCGAGAUUAGGAUUUGUCACUCCGAUUGUCGGAGAGGUAUCUCUGGGCCCUCUCGAUAAUACACAUCACUAUAAGCCUUGCAAGAAAUGUAACUAAUGAGUUAGUUACGGAUGAUACAUUGCGGAACGAGUAAAGAGAAUUGCCGGUAACGAGAUUGAACUAGGUAUAGUGAUACCGAUGAUCGAAUCUCGGGCAAGUAACAUACCGAUGACAAAGGGAACAACGUAUGUUGUUAUGCGGUUUGACCGAUAAAGAUCUUCGUAGAAUAUGUGGUAGCCAAUAUGAGCAUCCAGGUUCCUCUAUUGGUUAUUGACCGGAGAUGAGUCUCGGUCAUGUCUACAUAGUUCUCGAACCGGUAGGGUCCGCACGCUUAACGUUCGAUGACGAUUGGUAUUAUGAGUUUAUGUGUUUUGAUGUACCUAAGGUAGUUCGGAGUCCCGAAUGAGAUCACGGACAUGACGAGGAGUCUCGAAAUGGUUGAGACAUGAAGAUUGAUAUAUUGGAUGACUAUAUUCGGACACCGAAAUAGUUUCGAGGUGUAUUGGGUAUUUUUCGGAGUACCGGGGGGUUACCGGAACCCCCUGGGAGUUAUUGGGCCUCAUGGGCCUAGUAGUGGAAGAGAGGAGGCAGGCCAAAGGGUGGCGCGUGCCCCCCUAGCCCAAACUGAAUUGGACUAGGAGGGCCGCCCCCCUUUCCUUCUCUCCUCCCUCUCCUUCCCCCUUCUCCUUGUUGGAAUAGGAAAGGGGGGGCCGAAUCCUACUUGGAGUAGGAUUGCCCCCCCAUGGCGCGCCUCCUCCUCCUGGCCGGCCUCCUCCUCCCUCCUUCCUUUAUAUACGUGGGAGGGGGCACCCCAAAGGCACACUAAAGUUUCUCUUAGCUGUGUGCGGUGCCCCCUCCACAGAAACACACCUUGGUCAUAUCGUCGUAGUGCUUAGGCGAAGCCCUGCGCCGCUAACUUCAUCAUCACCGUCAUCACGCCGUCGUGCUGACGAAACACUCCCUCGGCCUCAUCUGGAUCAAGAGUUCGAGGGACGUCACCGAGCUAUACGUGUGCAGAUCGCGGAGGUGCCGUGCGUUCGGUACUUGAUCGGUUGGAUCGCGAAGACGUUAGACUACAUCAACCGCGUUACUAAAUGCUUCCGCUUUCGGUCUACGAGGGUACGUGGACACACUCUCCCUGCUCGUUGCUAUGCUUCUCCUAGAUAGAUUUUGCGUGAUCGUAGGCAAAUUUUUGAAAUACUACGUUCCCCAACAGUGGCAUCCGAGCCAGGUCUAUGCGUAGAUGUUAUAUGCACGAGUAGAACACAAAGAGUUGUGGGCGAUGAUAGUCAUACUAUUUACUAGCAUGUCAUACUUUGAUUCGGCGGUAUUGUUGGAUGAAGCGGCCCAGACUGACAUUACAUGACCGCGUUCAUGAGACUGGUUCUACCGCCGUGCUUCGCACACAGGUGGCUAGUGGGUGUCUGUUUCUCCAACUUUAGCUGAAUCGAGUGUGACUACGCCCGGUCCUUGUUGAAGGUUAAAACAGCACAAAAAAAUGUUGUGGUUUUGAUGCGUAGGUAAGAACGGUUCUUGCUAAGCCCGUAGCAGCCACGUAACACUUGCAACAACAAAGUAGAGGACGUCUAACUUGUUUUUACAGGGCAUGUUGUGAUGUGAUAUGGUCAAGACAUGAUGAUAUAUAAAUUGUUGUAUGAGAUGACCAUGUUUUGUAUAAGUUAUCGGCAACUGGCAGGAGCCUUAUGGUUGUCGCUUUAUUGUAUGAAAUGCAAUCGCCAUGUAAUUGCUUUACUUUAUCACUAAGCGGUAGCGAUAGUCGUAGAAGCAAUAGUUGGCGAGACGACAACGGUGCUUCGAUGGAGAUCAAGGUGUCAAGCCGGUGAUGAUGGUGAUCAUGACGGUGCUUUGGAGAUGGAGAUCAAAGGCACAAGAUGAUGAUGGCCAUAUCAUAUCACUUAUAAUGAUUGCAUGUGAUGUUUAUCCUUUAUGCAUCUUAUUUUGCUUAGUUCGGUGGUAGCAUUAUAAGAUGAUCUCUCACUAAAUUUCAAGGUAUAAGUGUUCUCCCUGAGUAUGCACCGUUGCGACAGUUCACCGUGCCGAGACACCAUGUGAUGAUCGGGUGUGAUAAGUCUACGUUCACAUACAACGGAUGCAAGCCAGUUUUGCACACGCAGAAUACUCGGGUUAAACUUGACAAGCCUAGCAUAUGCAGAUAUGGCCUCGGAACACUGAGAUCGAAAGGUCGAGCAUGAAUCAUAUAGUAGCUAUGAUCAACAUAGUGAUGUUCACCAUUGAAAGCUACUCUAUCUCACGUGAUGACCGGACAUGGUUUAGUUGAUAUGGAUCACGUGAUCACUUAGAUGAUUAGAGGGAUGUCUAACUAAGUGGGAGUUCUUAAGUAAUAUGAUUAAUUGAACUUUAAUUUAUCAUGAACUUAGUACUUGAUAGUAUUUUGCAUGUCUAUGUUGUUGUAGAUCAAUGGCCCGUGCUACUGUUCAUUUGAAUUUUAAUGCGUUCCUAGAGAAAGCUAAGUUGAAAGAUGAUGGUAGCAACUACACGGACUGGGUCUGUAACUUGAGGAUUAUCCUCAUUGCUGCACAGAAGAAUUACGUCCUGGAAGCACCGCUAGGUGCAAGACCCGCUGCAAGAGCAACACCAGAUGUUGUGAACGCUUGGCAGAGCAAAGCUGAUGACUACUCGAUAGUUCAGUGUGCCAUGCUUUACGGCUUAGAACCGGGACUUCAACGACGUUUUGAACGUCAUGGAGCAUAUGAGAUGUUCCAGGAGUUGAAGUUAAUAUUUCAAGCAAAUGCCCGGAUUGAGAGAUAUGAAGUCUCCAAUAAGUUCUAUAGCUGCAAUGGAGGAGAAUAGUUAUGUCAGUGAACAUAUACUCAAAAUGUCUGGAUAUCAUAAUCACUUGACUCAACUAGGAGUUAAUCUUCCGGUUGAUAGUGUCAUUGACAAAGUUCCUCAAUCACUGCCACAAGCUACAAAAGCUUCGUAAUGAACUAUAAUAUGAAAGGGAUGGAUAAGACGAUUCCCGCUCUUCGCAAUGCUAAAGGCUGCGGAGGUAGAAAUCAAGAAGGAGCAUCAACUGUUGAUGGUCAACAAGACCACUAGUUUCAAGAAAAAGGGCAAAGGGAAGAAGGGGAACUUCAAGAAGAACGGCAAGCAAGUUGCUGCUCAAGUGAAGAAGCCCAAGUCUGGACCUAAGCCUGAGACUGAGUGCUUCUACUGCAAAGGGACUAGUCACUGGAAGCGGAACUGCCCCAUGUAUUUUGCGGAUAAGAAGGAUGGCAAAGUGAAAGGUAUAUUUGAUAUACAUGUUAUUGAUGUGUACCUUACUAAUGCUCGCAGUAGUGCCUGGGUAUUUGAUACUGGUUCUGUUGCUCAUAUUUGCAACUCGAAAUAGGGGCUACGGAUUAAGCGAAGAUUGGCUAAGGACGAGGUGACGAUGCGCGUGGGAAAUGGUUCCAAAGUCGAUGUGAUCGCUGAUGACCCACAAGUAUAGGGGAUCUAUCGUAGUCCUUUAGAUAAGCAAGAGUGUCGAACCCAACGAGGAGCAGAAGGAAAUGAUAAGCGGUUUUCAGCAAGGUAUUCUCUGCAAGCACUGAAAUUAUAGGUAACAGAUACUUUUUUGAUAAAAUAAUUUGUAAUGAGCAACAAGUAACAAAAGUAAAUAAAGUGCAGGAAGGUGGCCCAAUCCUUUUUGUAGCAAAGGACAAGCCUGGACAAACUCUUACAUAGAGAAAAGCGAUCCCGAGGACACAUGGGAAUUAUCGUCAAGCUAGUUUUCAUCACGUUCAUAUGAUUCGCGUUCGGUACUUUGAUAAUUUGAUAUGUGGGUGGACCGGUGCUUGGGUGCUGUCCUUACUUGGACAAGCAUCCCACUUAUGAUUAACCCCUAUUGCAAGCAUCCGCAACUACAAAAGAAGUAUUAAGGUAAACCUAACCAUAGCAUGAAACAUAUGGAUCCAAAUCAGCCCCUUACGAAGCAACGCAUAAACUAGGGUUUAAGCUUCUGUCACUCUAGCAACCCAUCAUCUACCUAUUACUUCCCAAUGCCUUCCUCUAGGCCCAAAUAACGGUGAAGUGUCAUGUAGUCGGCGUUCACAUAACACCACUAGAGGAGAGACAACAUACAUCUCAUCAAAAUAUCAAACGAAUACCAAAUUCACAUGACUACUACUAGCAAGACUUCUCCCAUGUCCUCAGGAACAAAUGUAACUACUCACAAAGCAUAUUCAUGUUCAUAAUUAGAGGGGUAUUAAUAUGCAUAAUGGAUCUGAACAUAUGAUCUUCCACCAAAUAAACCAACUAGCAUCAACUACAAGGAGUAAUCAACACUACUAGCAACCUACAGGUACCAAUCCCAGACUUGGAGACAAGAAUUGGAUACAAGAGAUGAACUAGGGUUUGAGAGGAGAUGGUGCUAGUGAAGAUGUUGAUGGAGAUUGGCCCUCUCCCGAUGAGAGGAGCGUUGGUGAUGACGAUGGCGAUGAUUUUCCCCCUCCCGGGGGGAAGUGUCCCCGGCAGAACGGCUCCGCCAGAGCCCUAGAUUGGUUCCGCUAAGGUUAUGCCUCGUGGCGGCGGAGUCUCGUCCCGAAAGCUUGCUUCUGAUUUUUCUUCGGACAAAAGACUUCAUAUAGCAGAAGAUGGCCACAGGAGGGCCAACAGGGGGCCCACGAGGCAGGGGGCGCGCCCAGGGGGGUAGGGCGCGCCCCCCACCCUCGUGGCCAGGGUGUGGGCCCCCUCUGGUAUUUCUUCCGCUCAGUAUUUUUUUAUUAUUUCCAAAAAUAACUUCCGUGGAGUUUCAGGACUUUUGGAGUUGUGCAGAAUAGGUCUCUAAUAUUUUCUCCUUUUCCAGCUCAGAAUUCCAGCUGCCGGCAUUCUCCCUCCUUAUGUAAACCUUGUAAAAUAAGAGAGAAUAGGCAUAAGUAUUGUGACAUAAUGUGUAAUAACAGCCCAUAAUGCAAUAAAUAUCGAUAUAAAAGCAUGAUGCAAAAUGGACGUAUCAACUCCCCCAAGCUUAGACCUCGCUUGUCCUCAAGCGGAAGCCGAUAACGAUAAAUAUGUCCACAUGUUUAGAGGUAGAGGUGUCGAUAAAAUAAAAUACGGACAUGAGGGCAUCACGAUUAUUCUCAUAACAGCAACAUAUAUGGAUAAUGUCAUCUGAUUUCUUAUGCUCAAGUAAUAAUCUAUUCACAAUGCAAAGUAUGAAUCAGAAACUUUAUUGAGAACUAACAAACUAUAAUCUCAGUCACUGAAGCAAUUGCAAUUUAUCAUAACAUCGGAAAGAGUCUAUGUCAGAGCUUUUUAGCAAGUCCACAUAAUCAACUAUCAUUUAGUCUUUCACAAUUGCUAACACUCACGUAAUACUUGUGGUUACGGAGUUUUAAUCGAACACAGAGAAAGAUAGGGGCUUAUAGUUUCGCCUCCCAACCUUUUACCUCAAGGGUAAUGUCAACAAUAAUAGUUCAUGCUAACUUACAUCCAAUUAGAUAUAUAUAUAUAUAUCAGGAUCUUUCCAACACACUAUGCUUGCCAAAGGAUAAAAUGUAAAAAGGAAAGGUGAAGAUCACCAUGACUCUUGCAUAAGGGUAAGCGAUAAAAGUAAAAGAUAGGCCCUUUGCAGAGGGAAGCAGAGGUUGUCAUGCGCUUUCAGGGUUGGAUGCUCAAAAUCUUAAUGCGAAAGAACGUCACUUUAUAUUUCCACUUGUGAUAUGAACCUUUAUUAUGCAGUCCGUCGCUUUUAUUUCUUCCACAUCACAAGAUCGUAUAAAGCUUAUUUCCUCCACACUAAUCAAUCAUACAUAUUUAGAGAGCAAUUUUUAUUGCUUGCACCGAUGACAACUUACUUGAAGGAUCUUACUCAAUCCAUAGGUAGAUAUGGUGGACUCUCAUGGCAAAACUGGGUUUAAGGGUAUUUGGAAGCACAAGUAGUAUCUCUACUUGGUGCAAAGAAUUUGGCUAGUAUGAGGGGGAAAGGCAAGCUCAACAUGUUAGAUGAUCCAUGACAAUAUACUUUAUCUCAGAUAUAAGAAAACAUAACCCAUUAUGUUGUCUUCCUUGUCCAACACCAACUCUUUAGCAUGUCAUACUUUAAUGAGUGCUCACAAUCAUAAAAGAUGUCCAAUAUAGUAUAUUUAUAUCUGAAACCUCUCUUUCUUUAUUACUUCCUAUUAAUUGCAACGAUGACCAAAGCUAUGUUUGUCAACUCUCAACAACUUUUAAUCAUCAUACUCUUUCCAUGUGAAGUCAUUACUCUCAAUAAGAUCAAUAUGAUCUCUUUUCGUUUCUUUUUAUUCUUUCUUUUUCUUUUAUUCCCUCAAGAUCAUAGCAAAAUAGUCAAGCCCUUGACUCAACACUAAUCUUUAUUAUAUAGCUCACAGACUCGAUUACAUAGAGGGAUCAUAAGGCAAAACUCAAAACUAGAUCAUACCAAAAACUUUAUUCUACUAGAUCAAGAUAUUACUAAGGGGCCAUUUGCAUUUCUGUCCGUAACUCGAACCACCUAAUCAGAUAUACCCCUAAUUCAAAAGCCUGCUCAAAUUUACCCCUCCGCCGUUAGGUGCCCUUAUAGAAAUGCCCUUCUGCGUCGUUACCGUCCGGUCAAACAACUUUGACCAUCCUGAAAAAAAUAGCAAAAAAUUCUAAAAAUUCUAAAAUUUUGUGAGAUCGAAGAUUCUCAUGUGCCCAAGGUGUGUGCAAAUUUUCGUGCUAUUUGGACAUUCCAGGAGCUCGUGGCGAGGAAAAACAGUUAAUCUGCACGCUUGUGAACAGUAAAUUUGAAAUAAAAUAGCAAGAAAAUUUUGAAAAAUAUGAAUUUUUUUGGCAUCAAAGUGGCUUGUGUGCACAAGGUGCUUGCAAGUUUUUUGUGAUCAAAUGACAUGCGAGGAGCUCUAGCAAGAAAAAACAAAAUAGUCAUUUUUUCCCAAGCAAAUUUUGUUUUUUUCUCCACAAGCCCCUUCAAUGUCCAAACACAAAAAAAAAUUGCACGCAGCUUGCAGACCCGAGCCUCUUUGAUGCCAAAAAAUUUCAUAUUUUUUUGAAUUUUCCUACUUUUUUUUGAAUUUACUGUUCACAGGCUUACAUAUUUAUUGUUUUUCCUCUAACACGACCUCCUAGAAUGUACAAACAGCACGAAACUUUGCACGCACCUUGCGAACCUGAGUAUUUUUGAUCCCACAAAUUUCCAGAUUUUUAAGAUUUUUUUUGCUAUUUUUUUCAGGACGGUCAAAGCCCUUUGACCGGCUUUGACUUGCUUUGACCGGACGGUAACGGCACCGAAGGGUAUUUCUGUAAGUGCACCUAAUGGCGGAGGGGCAAAUUUGAGCAGGCUUUGAAAUUAGGGGUAAAUUUGAGAGUGGGCGCAAAUUAGGGGCAUAGAUGUAAAUGUCCCAUAAGCGAAUCGUAUCCUGAGGGGCAUUAUCGCUAAGAAUAUCACAUCACCUUCCCCGAAGAAGGAGACAUAAUCACAUGGGUAUAGGCACUCCCCUUGGCAACUGCCAAGCUUGGGGGAGGUGCCCCGGUAUCGUAUCACCAUCACACUCCUAUCUUUACCGUUUUUCUUAGUUCGAUCCUCUUAGUAAUGGCCCAUCUCUUAUUGAGUUGCUGCUUGAGAUCCAUUAUCUCCUUACGAAGCUUCCCUAUAACGGCUAAAGCUCCUUGCACCCAAGGGUGUUGCAUAGCUGUGGGAGAACAAGUGACACUCUUCUUCAUAUUUUCAUAAGAAAGUAAUCUAACAUUGGAAGGGAUAACCGAGUUUGGAAUAGCCGAGCUCUGUAGUUCCCCCAUCGUGAAUCCAGCUCGGAAGCGAGAAGUGACUUCUUGAUCCUCCUCCAUGGCAUCUAUCCUCUUCAAAUCAGCCUCCAUCUCUUCCUCCGUUGCUGGCCCAAAGUGGUCAGCAACGCUGUUUGUCCUUGGUCUUGAUGUCGGAUGAGACACUCGGCUCUCCCCGACUGACUCUUGAGAAGACAUCUUGCUCUAAUAUGCAGCAGCAACAGCUUGAAACAAGAACAGAGGAUAUUUGCGUGAUACAGGAGUCAAAACCUUCGGGAGAUUAUAUAAUGAAUUUUUACCGACCAAAAUAAGUAUCGUGCAAGAAAACGGAGUCCGGAGAGCACACGAGGUGCCCACGAGGCAGGGGGGCGCGCCCAGGGGGGUAGGGCGCGCCCUCCACCCUCGUGGAGGCCUCGUGUCCUUCCCGGAUUGCUUCUUACUUUUCUAUUUUUCUAAAUAUUCCAAAACGGAGAAAAAUUGUCAUUAGAACUGUUUUGGAGUCGGUUUACUUACCAUACCACAUACCUAUUCCUUUUCGGAGUCUGAAACGUUCCGGAAAGUGUCCCUUAUGUAUUCCUCCGGGGUUAUGGUUUCAAUAACAUUGGUUUCAACAUUUAUAGGAUUACCUGAGAUAUAAUGUUUGAUUCUUUGACCGUUCACCACCUUCGGAUUUGUGCCUUCGAAGUUGUUGAUUUUUAUGGCACCGGAAUGAUAGACCUCCUCGAUAACGUAAGGACCUUCCCAUUUAGAGAGAAGUUUUCCUGCAAAAAAUCUCAAACGAUAGUUGUAUAGCAAUACAUAGUCACCUACAUUAAACUCACGCUUUUGUAUUCUUUUGUCAUGCCAUCUUUUAACUUUUUCUUUAAACAACUUGGCAUUCUCAUAGGCUUGGGUUCUCCAUUCAUAAAGUGAGCUAAUGUCAAAUAACCUCUUCUCACCGGCAAGUUUGAAAUCAUAGUUGAGCUCUUUAAUAGCCCAAUAUGCCUUAUGUUCUAGUUCAAGAGGUAAGUGACAUGCUUUUCCAUAAACCAUUUUAUACGGAGACAUACCCAUAGGAUUUUUAUAUGCAGUUCUAUAGGCCCAUAAUGCAUCAUCAAGUUUCUUGGACCAAUUAUUUCUAGAUCUAUUAACAGUCUUUUGCAAAAUUAAUUUGAGUUCUCUAUUACUCAAUUCUACUUGACCGCUAGACUGUGGGUGAUAAGGAGAUGCAAUUCUAUGAUUAACAUCAUAAUUAGCAAGCAUUUUACGGAAAUCACCAUGAAUAAAAUGUGAACCACCAUCAGUCAUUAAAUAUCUAGGGACUCCAAACCUCGGAAAAAUAACUUCUUUAAGCAUCUUAAUAGAGGUGUUACGAUCAGCACUACUAGUUGGAAUAGCUUCUACCCACUUAGUAACGUAAUCAACAGCAACUAAAAUAUGUGUAUAUCCAUUGGAGGCAGGAAAAGGUCCCAUAUAAUCAAAGCCCCAAACAUCAAAUGGUUCAAUAACAAGUGAAUAAUUCAUAGGCAUUUCUUGACGUCUACUAAUAUUACCAAUUCUUUGACAUUCAUCACAAGAUAAGACAAACUUACGGGCAUCCUUGAAGAGAGUAGGCCAAUAAAAACCGGAUUGCAAUACCUUAUGUGCAGUUCUAUCUCCAGCGUGGUGUCCUCCAUAAGCUUCGGAGUGACACUUGCGUAGGAUCUGUUCCUGUUCAUGCUCAGGUACAUAACGUCUAAUGACACCAUCUACUCCUUCUUUAUAAAGAUGUGGGUCAUCCCAGAAGUAAUGUCUCAAAUCAUAGAAAAACUUUUUCUUUUGCUGGUAUGUGAAACUAGGUGGUAUGAAUUUAGCAACAAUGUAAUUAGCAUAAUCAGCAUACCAAGGAGCAGUACGAGAAGCAUUUAUGACACUUAAUUGUUCAUCAGCAAAGCUAUCAUCAAUAGGUAGUGGGUCAUCGAGAACAUUUUCUAACCUAGACAAGUUGUCUGCAACGGGGUUCUCAGCUCCCUUUCUAUCAAUAAUAUGCAAAUCAAAUUCUUGUAGCAAGAGAACCCAUCUAAUAAGUCUAGGUUUAGCAUCUUUCUUUUCCAUAAGAUAUUUAAUAGCAGCAUGAUCAGUGUGAAUAGUUACUUUAGAAUCAACAAUGUAUGGUCUGAACUUAUCAGAAGCAAAUACAACUGCUAAGAAUUCUUUUUCAGUAGUAGCAUAAUUUCUCUGAGCAUUGUCUAGAUUUUACUAGCAUAUUGAAUAACAUUUAAUUUCUUCUCAACUCUUUGCCCUAGAACAGCACCUACAGCAUAAUCACUAGCAUCACACAUAAUUUCAAAGGGUAAAUUCCAACCAGGUGGCUGAACAAUAGGUGCAGAAAUUAAUGCUUUCUUAAGUAUUUCAAAUGCUUCUACACAAUCAUCAUCAAAGACGAAUGGUAUAUCUUUUUGUAAUAAAUUAGUCAAAGGCCAAGAAAUUUUUGAGAAGUCCUUAAUGAACCUCCUAUAAAAUCUGGGGUGACCAAGGAAACUUCUUAUACCUUUGAUGUCCUUGGGACAUGGCAUCUUUUCAAUAGCAUCAACUUUAGCUUUAUCAACUUCAAUGCCCCUUUCAGAAAUUUUAUGCCCCAAGACAAUACCUUCAUUAACCAUAAAGUGGCACUUCUCCCAAUACAAGACAAGGUUAGUUUCUUCACAUCUCUGCAAAACUCGAUCAAGGUUGCUUAAGCAAACAUCAAAAGAGGAUCCAUAAACGGAGAAAUCAUCCAUGAAAACCUCACAAAUCUUUUUCACAAAAGUCAGAGAAUAUAGCCAUCGUGCAUCUUUGAAAGGUAUCAGGUGCAUUACAUAAACCAAAAGGCAUACGUCUAUAAGCAAAAGUACCGAAAGGACAAGUAAAUGUGGUCUUAGCUAGAUCAUCAGCUGACACAGGUAUUUGAGAGAAACCAGAAUAACCAUCUGGAAAGCAGAAGUGUGUAUGUUUGGAUAAUCUUUCUAGCAUUUGAUCAAUAAAAGGUAAGGGGUAAUGAUCUUUUUUAGUAGCUUUAUUUAAUUUGCGAAAAUCAAUUACCAUCCUAUAACCUGUAAUAAUUCUUUGAGGAAUCAGUUCAUCUUUAUCAUUAGGAACGACCGUAAUACCUCCCUUCUUAGGGACACAAUGGACAUGACUUACCCACUGACUAUCAGCAACGUGAUAGAUUAUACCUGCCUCAAGGAGCUUUAGUAUUUCUUGUCUUACCACUUCUUUCAUCUUAGGAUUCAGCCGUCGUUGAUGAUCAAUAACUGGUUUGGCAUCUUUCUCCAAUUUUAUUUUGUGUUGACAUAGGGUGGGACUAAUGCCCUUAAGAUCAUCAAGAGUAUAUCCAAUGGCAGCACGGUGCUUCUUCAGAGUUUUCAAUAAUUUUUCUUCCUCCUUCUCUGAAAGAUUAGCACUAAUAAUAACAGGAUAUAUUUUCUUUUCAUCAAGAUAAGCAUAUUUAAGAGUAUCAGGCAAUGGUUUAAGCUCAAACACGGGAUCACCCUUGGGUGGAGGAGGAUCCCCUAGGAUUUCAACAGGCAAGUUGUGUUUCAGAAUAGGUCCCUGUUUAAAGAACACUCCAUCUAUUUCCCUUCUUUCAUUCAUAAACAUAUCAUUUUCAUGGUCUAGCAAAUAUUGUUCUAAAGGAUCACUAGGAGGCACGGCAAUAGAAGCAAGACCAAUAAUUUCAUCUUUACUAGGCAAUUCCUCUUCACGGUGUUGUCUACGAAAUUUAGAGAAGUUAAACUCAUGAGACAUAUCACCUAGACCAAUAGUAACAAUGUCCUUUUCACAGUCUAUCUUAGCAUUAACAGUGUUUAAGAAGGGUCUACCAAAUAUAAUGGGACAAAAGCUAUCUUGUGGGGAACCAAGAACAAGAAAAUCAGCAGGAUAUUUAGUUUUCCCACACAAGACUUCAACAUCUCUAACAAUUCCAAUUCGUGAUAUAGUAUCUCUAUUGGCAAGCUUAAUUGUGACAUCAAUAUCUUCUAAAUCAGCAGGUGCAAUAUCAUGCAUAAUUUCUUUGUAUAAGUCAAUAGGUAUUGCACUAGCACUAGCACCCAUAUCACACAAGCCAUGAUAACAAUGAUCUCCUAUUUUAACAGAAAUAACAGGCAUGCCUACCACAUGUCUAUGUUUAUCUUUAGCACAAGGUUUAGCAAUUCUAGCAGUCUCAUCACAGAAAUAAAUAAGAUGCCCAUCAAUAUUAUCAGCCAAGAGAUCUUUAACAAUAGCAAUAUUAGGUUCAACUUUAACUUGCUCAGGAGGUGUACAAGUUCUAAUAUUGCUUUUACGAACCACAAUUGAAGCUUUAACAUGAUCUUUUAUCCUUACAGGAAAAGGUGGUUUCUCAACAUAAGCAGUAGGAACAAUAGGAUCAUUAUAAGUGAUAGUUUUUUCUUCAACUUUAAUAGGUGCAGCUACUUUUACUUCUAUGGGAGGAUGAUAUUUAAACCACUUCUCCUUAGGGAGAUCAACAUGAGUAGCAAAAGAUUCACAGAAAGAAGCUACUAUCUCGGAGUCAAGUCCAUAUUUAGUGCUAAAUUUACGGAAAACAUCAGUAUCCAUAAAAGAUUUAACACAAUCAAACUUAGGUGUCAUACCUGACUCCUUACCUUCGUCGAGGUCCCAAUCUUCAGAGUUGCGUUUAAUUCUUUCCAAUAAAUCCCAUUUGAAUUCAAUAGUCUUCAUCAUAAAAGAGCCAGCACAAGAAGUACCGAGCAUGGUGCGAUUGUUGUCAUAAAGCCGAGCAUAAAAUUUUUGAAUAAUCAUUUCUCUUGAGAGCUCAUGAUUGGGGCAUGAAUAUAACAUUGAUUUAAGCCUCCCCCAAGCUUGAGCGAUGAUUUCUCCUUCGCGAGGCCAAAAAUUAUAUAUAUAAUUACGAUCACAAUGAACAAGAUGCAUAGGAUAAAACUUCUGAUGAAAUUCCAAUUUCAAUCGUUUAUAGUUCCAUGAUCCCAUAUCAUCACAUAGCCUAUACCAUGUCAAUGCAUCUCCCUUCAAAGAUAAAGGGAAGACCUUCUUCUUGAUAACAUCAUCGGGCAUACCUGCAAGCUUAAAUAAUCCACAAACCUCAUCCACAUAGAUUAGGUGCUCAUCAGGAUGUAAUGCUCCAUCUCCUGCAAAAGGAUUAGCUAGCAGUUUUUCUACCAUACCCGAAGGAAUUUCAAAGUAGACAUUUUCAUUUUCAGUAGGUUUAUUAGGUUGAGGAGCAACUCUUUGCUCUACUGGUCGAGAUGAAAAUACCCCGAACAAGUCCCUCAGAGGAUUACUUUCCAUAGCAACAUGUGACAGUAAAUUUCAGCACACUAUAUACAUUUUUCCUUACCAAAUUCCACCUACCAAAGGCGCUUCACUCCCCGGCAACGGCGCCAGAAAAGAGUCUUGAUGACCCACAAGUAUAGGGGAUCUAUCGUAGUCCUUUCGAUAAGUAAGAGUGUCGAACCCAACAAGGAGCAGAAGGAAAUGAUAAGCGGUUUUCAGCAAGGUAUUCUCUGCAAGAACUGAAAUUAUAGGUAAUAGAUAGUUUUGUGAUAAAAUAAUUUGUAAACAAGUAACAAAAGUAAAUAAAGUGCAGCAAGGUGGCCCAAUCCUUUUUGUAGCAAAGGACAAGCCUGGACAAACUCUUAUAUAGAGAAAAGCGCUCCCGAGGACACAUGGGAAUUAUCGUCAAGCUAGUUUUCAUCACGUUCAUAUGAUUCGUGUUCGGUACUUUGAUAAUUUGAUAUGUGGGUGGACCGGUGCUUGGGUGCUGUCCUUACUUGGACAAGCAUCCCACUUAUGAUUAACCCCUAUUGCAAGCAUCCGCAAUUACAAAAUAAGUAUUAAGGUAAACCUAACCAUAGCAUGAAACAUAUGGAUCCAAAUCAGCCCCUCACGAAGCAACGCAUAAACUAGGGUUUAAGCUUCUGUCACUCUAGCAACCCAUCAUCUACUUAUUACUUCCCAAUGCCUUCCUCUAGGCCCAAAUAAUGGUGAAGUGUCAUGUAGUCGACGUUCACAUAACACCACUAGAGGAGAGACAACAUACAUCUCAUCAAAAUAUCGAACGAAUACCAAAUUCACACGACUACUACUAGCAAGACUUCUCCCAUGUCCUCAGGAACAAACGUAACUACUCACAAAGCAUAUUCAUGUUCAUAAUCAGAGGGGUAUUAAUAUGCAUAAUGGAUCUGAACAUAUGAUCUUCCACCAAAUAAACCAACUAGCAUCAACUACAAGGAGUAAUCAACACUACUAGCAACCUACAGGUACCAAUCCCAGACAUAGAGACAAGAAUUGGAUACAAGAGAUGAACUAGGGUUUGAGAGGAGAUGGUGCUGGUGAAGAUGUUGAUGGGGAUUGGCCCUCUCCCGAUGAGAGGAGCGUUGGUGAUGACGAUGGCGAUGAUGUCCCCCUCCCGGAGGGAAGAGUCCCCGGUAGAACGGCUCUGCCAGAGCCCUAGAUUGGGUCCGCCAAUGUUCCGCCUCGUGGCGGCGGAGUCUCGUCCCGAAAGCUUGCUUCUGAUUUUUCUUCGGACGAAAGACUUCAUAUAGCAGAAGAUGGCCACAGGAGGGCCAACAGGGGGCCCACGAGGCAGGGGGCGCGCCCAGGGGGUAGGGCGCGCCCCCACCCUUUUGGCCAGGGUGUGGGCCCCUCUGGUAUUUCUUCUGCUCAGUAUUUUUUAUUAUUUCCAAAAAUAACUUCCGUGGAGUUUCAGGACUUUUGGAGUUGUGCAGAAUAGGUCUCUAAUAUUUGCUCCUUUUCCAGCCCAGAAUUCCAGCUGCCGGCAUUCUCCCUCCUUAGGUAAACCUUGUAAAAUAAGAGAGAAUAGACAUAAGUAUUGUGACAUAAUGUGUAAUAACAGCCCAUAAUGCAAUAAAUAUCGAUAUAAAAGCAUGAUGCAAAAUGGACGUAUCAAUCGCCGUCGGCAUGCUACCUCUACAUCUACCUUCCGGAUUAGUUUUAGACCUGAAUAAUUGUUAUUUGGUGCCAGCGUUAAGCAUGAACAUUAUAUCUGGAUCUUGUUUGAUGCGAGACGGUUAUUCAUUUAAAUCAGAGAAUAAUGGUUGUUCUAUUUAUAUGAGUAAUAUCUUUUAUGGUCAUGCACCCUUGAUGAGUGGUCUAUUUUUGUUGAAUCUCGAUAGUAGUGACACACAUAUUCAUAGUAUUGAAGCCAAAAGAUAUAAGUUUAAUAAUGAUAGUGCAACUUAUUUGUGGCACUACCGUUUGGGUCAUAUUGGUGUAAAGUGCAUGAAGAAACUCCAUGCUGAUGGGCUUUUAGAAUCACUUGAUGCUUGCGAACCAUGCCUCAUGGGCAAGAUGACUAAGACUCCGUUCUCCGGAACAAUGGAGCGAGCAACAGACUUGUUGGAAAUAAUACAUACUGAUGUAUGCAGUCCGAUGAGUGUUGAGGCUCGCGGCGGGUAUCGUUAUUUUCUUACCUUCACAGAUGAUUUGAGCAGAUAUGGGUAUAUCUACUUGAUGAAACAUAAGUCUGAAACAUUUGAAAAGUUCAAAGAAUUUCAGAGUGAAGUGGAAAAUCAUCGUAACAAGAAAAUAAAGUUUCUACGAUCUGAACGUGGAGGAGAAUAUUUGAGUUACGAGUUUGUUCUUCAUUUGAAACAAUGCGGAAUAGUUUCGCAACUCACGCCACCCGGAACACCACAACAUAAUGGUGUGUCCGAACAUCGUAACCACACUUUAUUAGAUAUGGUGCGAUCUAUGAUGUCUCUUACUGAUUUCCUGCUGUCGUUUUGGGGUUAUGCUUUAGAGACGGCUGCAUUCACGUUAAAUAGGGCACCAUCUAAAUCCGUUGAGACGACACCAUAUGAAUUGUGGUUUGGCAAGAAACCCAAGUUGUCGUUUCUUAAAGUUUGGGGCUGCGAUGCUUAUGUGAAAAAGCUUCAACCUGAUAAGCUCGAACCCAAAUCGGAGAAAUGUGUCUUCAUAGGAUACCGAAUAGAGACUAUUGGGUACACAUUCUAUCAUAGAUCCGAAGGCCAGAUAUUCGUUGCUAAGAAUGGAUCCUUUCUAGAGAAGGAGUUUAUCUCGAAAGAAGUGAGUGGGAGGAAAGUAGAACUUGAUGAGGUAACUAUACCUUCUCCCCUAUUGGAAAGUAGUUCAUCAAAGAAAUCAGUUCCUGUGAUUCCUACACCAAUUAGCGAGGAAGCUAAUGAUAAUGAUCAUGAAACUUCUGACCAAGUUACUACCGAACCUCGUAGGUCAACCAGAGUAAGAUCCGCACUAGAGUGGUACGGUAAUCCUGUUCUGGAAGUCAUGUUACUUGACUAUGACAAACCUACGAACUAUGAGGAAGCGAUGAUGAGCCCAGAUUCCGCGAAAUAGCUCGAGCCCAUGAAAUCUGAGAUGGGAUCCAUGUAUGAGAACAAAGUGUAGACUUUGGUUGACUUGCCCGAUGAUCGGCAAGCCAUAGAGAAUAAAUGGAUCUUCAAGAAGAAGACUGACGCUGAUGGUAAUAUUACUGUCUACAAAGCUUGACUUGUUGCAAAAGAUUUUCGACAAGUUCAAGGAGUUGACUACGAUGAGACCUUCUCACCCGUAGCGAUGCUUAAGUCCAUCCAAAUCAUGUUAGCAAUUGCCGCAUUUUAUGGUUAUGAAAUUUGGAAAAUGGAUGUCAAAACAGUAUUCCUGAAUAGAUUUCUGGAAGAAGAGUUGUAUAUGAUGCAACCCGAAGGUUUUAUCGAUCCAAAGGAUGCUAACAAAGUGUGCAAGCUCCAGCGAUCCAUUAAUGGACUGGUGCAAGCAUCUCGGAGUUGGAAUAAACGUUUUGAUAGUGUGAUCAAAGCAUAUGGUUUUAUACAGACUUUUGGAGAAGCCUGUAUUUACAAGAAAGUGAGUGGGAGCUCUGUAGCAUUUCUAAUAUUAUAUGUGGAUGACAUAUUAUUGAUUGGAAAUGAUAUAGAAUUUCUGGAUAGCAUAAAAGUUUACUUGAAUAAAAGUUUUUCUAUGAAAGACCUCGGUGAAGCUGCUUAUAUACUGGGCAUCAAGAUCUAUAGAGAUAGAUCAAGACGCUUAAUUGGACUUUCACAAAGCACAUACCUUGAUAAAGUUUUGAAGAAGUUCAAAAUGGAUCAAGCAAAGAAAGGGUUCUUGCCUGUGUUACAAGGUGUGAAGUUGAGUCAGACUCAAUGCCCGACCACUGCAGAAGAUAGAGAGAAAAUGAAAGUCAUUCCCUAUGCUUCAGCCAUAGGUUCUAUCAUGUAUGCAAUGCCGUGUACCAGACCUGAUGUGUGCCUUGCUAUUAGUUUAGCAGGGAGGUACCAAAGUAAUCCAGGAGUGGAUCACUGGACAUCGGUCAACAACAUCCUGAAAUACCUGAAGAGGACUAAGGAUAUGUUUCUUGUUUAUGGAGGUGACAAAGAGCUUGUCAUAAAUGGUUACGUCGAUGCAAGCUUUGACACCGAUCCAGAUGAAUCUAAGUCACAAACCGGAUACGUAUUUAUAUUGAACGGUGGAGCUGUCAGUUGGUGCAGUUCUAAGCAAAGCGUCGUGGCGGGAUCUACGUGUGAAGCGGAUUACAUAGCUGCUCUGGAAGCAGGAAAUGAAGGAGUCUGGAUGAAGGAGUUCAUAUCCGAUCUAGGUGUCAUACCUAGUGCAUCGGGUCCAAUGAAAAUCUUUUGUGACAAUACUGGUGCAAUUGCCUUGGCAAAGGAAUCCAGAUUUCACAAGAAAACCAAGCACAUCAAGAGACGCUUCAAUUCCAUCCGCGAUCAAGUCAAGGAGGGAGACAUAGAGAUUUGCAAAAUACAUACGGAUUUGAAUGUUGCAGACCUGUGACACCCAAGUUUUUUAUUUGGAUUUUUCAAAAGAUUUUUAUUUAACUUGAGGGGAGUGAUUUAAAUUUUUCUUCAAGAGAACUCCCCCUCUCAUAUAAUUUUUCCUUAUGGCAAAAACUUUAUUGGGAUUCACCCAAGAUCUGCCUUUGGUCUUGGAAGUCCUUGCUUUUCAUUUGGACUCAAGACAAAAUGUUUUUCAUUUGGGAAAAAUAACUUUUGAAAACCUUUUUGAAUUUUUGCACUAUGGCUUUUGGAAAGUCCUUUGCCACUUUCAACAAUUCCUCCUUGCCAUGGCCCUAGUGCAAAUGCUCUCUCCUAACCCUUCCCUCACCUUUGGAUCAUGUGUUACACCAAAUCCAGCAAGUUGAACCUCCCCAUGUAUCUAUUUCCAUUCAAAUUAUAUUCAAACAAAUUUCUGUCCUCUAUUCUACCACUUGGAGGUUCACAAAGGAACUCCUUUUUCUGUUUUGAUUUUUGCCACCAAACCAACUCUCCCUCCUAGUCCUUUGAAACCCCAACCUAGAACUAUGAAGAUCCACUGGUCUUCAGUUCAAAAUUUUCAAACUACACUUGCUGCAAGUUUGGACCAGAUUUGUCAAAUUUGGUGAAAUUCAUUCAAAACCUUCUCCAAAAAUUCCAAGUAAAAUCAGGCAGCCCCUGGGUGCUUUGAGUGGUCAUCUCACCAAGUUACAGCUCCAGAAAAAUUUAUCUCAUGGCCAAAACCUCCUGUCGAACACCUGCAGUGCAUGGUCAUUGUCAAGUUCAGAGUUUCAGAGUUUCAGUCAAGUGGCUGCUGUCAUUUUCUUCAGAAGCGGACGUUGAUCUCGCCAGUGCCACCGCGUCGCCUUGCUCCUCGUCCCCGCCCUCUUGUUCCUGCACCGCACGAACGCCUGGCGCCUUGCGGGCGUCGGCGACGAGCAGCAGAAGGUGCGCCGCCCCGUGACCGACGCCGGCGGCGGUUUGCGGACGCCAGCGGGAGACACGGCGCCGACGACGCCACCCAGCGCCGCCCAAACCACCGGAGCUCGCCGCGUGGCCUUCCACUCCCCCGAACGCGCUGCCGCUCUCGUCGUGAACCGCAGGGCGCGGAGCGCGCUCUCUGCCGCCGUUGAGCCCGUGCGGUCACCUCACCGUGGACCGACGCCAUUACGCCAAGACCAACCCCGUUUAGCUGUAAAACGAAUCCAGUAACCUCCACUGAUGCUGCCCGGCCGCUCAAACCACCUGCCAACCCACUGCUCCGCCCUAAUCGCUCGCCGGAGAUUCUCCGUUCACGGCCACCCCGUCGAUCUGCCUAUAAAUAGAGGCCCCGAGCUUCAACUCGAGCACCCACCAGCCCUGCACUCCCCCUAGAGCACGCCUAGCCACUGGAAGAGCCCCGAGGAGGUCUCCUUCCUCGGCUCCGGCCGCCGCGACCCGCCACGGGAUCCAGCCCGAUUCGCCCCCGUGUGUGCCCCUCCGCCUCCAUUCUCUUGCCAGUAGCUUCACCUUGCAUCACUCGUUCUGACCCGCGCCUCAAUUCGUAGUUUGCAGCCCUCCACCGGAGUUCCCCAUCCUCACCCGAGCCGCCGUCCGCCGGAGAAAGUGCCGCCGUCGACGUGGUGCUCCCCGUUGGACGAGUCCACCACCCACCGACGCGGAAGAAGGCGCUGAAGCUCUUGGUACCCUCCGUUUCUCCUAACUCGCCGUGCUUCGACGCCGGCGUCCACCGCAGUCUUCGGGCGCCGGCGAGCUUUUCAAACCUGACAUGUGGACCCCGCGUGUCAGCCUCUGUUCUUUUAUUCGCGAACCGUUUUCUGUUGGCUCCUUCGGGCAAAAUACGUCUUCUCCUUUGCGUUUGCGCAUUCCCAGCCGAAGCGUUUUCUGUUUUCUCAGUUAAAACCCUGGAACUUUUCUGUUUCAUUACAGAUAAGUCCCUGGACAGAAACCUUUAUAACUUUUUAAUAAAAAGGUAUUUUUGAGUGAAUCUUUUUCUGACAAUCUUCAAAUUUUUUCUAGUUUUUUAUGGGAUUUAUUUAAAAAAUAUUUGGAAAAGUCUCUGUGUAUGUGUUGGUUUUCACGUUAGUAUCCGUUUCGUGAUUGCCGUAGGUUCCGGGAGAGGAGACGGAGCCGCGAACUUCGCCGAGCUAGACUCCGACGUCUCCGAACCAGGCAAGCAUGUUUUGAACAUUUGAUAUGACAGAUGUUUUUCAUGUUCACGUGAAAGUUUUGUGCGUGGCAUAUGAGUGUCGGUAAAUGCCUCGUUGCUUGUAAGGCAACGACCCAGUUGUUCCAGAGUUGCGAUGAUCUCUGAUGAGAGAUGGCCUAAUCAUGUGAUGACAUGAAGGGCAGCAAGGUGGUACUGUUGUAGCAUACCAGCCUUGUGUCAUCCGACUCUUCCGACGUUAACAUGGUUGGAGCCGUGUUAUCGUUCUUUCCCCAUUCCAUGCUACCACAUGUCUCAUUGCCAGGGUACGGUUUAGUAAGUUGGUAACCUCUUCCCAUGUACACACCAAACAGAGAGGCCGGGAUGAUGGUACCUUGGCCCAGGAUUAAAGCCAGUCAUCCGGUCAGGGGGCAUGGGUGUUUCCGGUUGGGACCAAGAGGGGGGGCACCCCCUUAGAGCGCGCGUAUAAAAAUUUGAUCCCAUGCUACGCGAGGUUGUAGCCUCCCCGUCUCAAGGUUUUUCUUGGAUGUUACCGAGGGUGAUCCCUGGCUUCGGAUGGUUGAAUUGGUUGUGUACUGGUUAGACGUGUUCCUUCCAAAACACCGUAGACGGAACUAGUCCCCGAGACUACUGAAAUCCGUUGGCUGUGGUUAAGUACAAACUCUGCAGAGUCAAUUCUUUUCAAAUCAUCGUAUCCAUGAUCAAGCAGUGUAAGUAUUAUAUCCAUAUCCAUCUGUGUGAAAAACUUGUCCCCGGAGAACAAGCUCAAGUGGUAAAUUCAGAUUUUAUUGUUAUUCCUGUGGAUGGACUAACUUUAUAUUUGUCUCAUGCUUGUGAUACUUAUGUUCCCGAACCAAUGUAUUAUUGAGUUGUGAUAUAAGCCCUUUAUGAGACAUCGCGCAGACAUCCGACUGUGGCGUGUUCUUGUUCUUUACUUUAAAUAUAAGCCUUUUCUGUGAUGUCGCUCAGACGUCCGACUGUGGCAUGCACUGCCUUUAUUUUCUGUAAUAAGCCCUUUAUGUGGUGUCGCCCCGACGCCCGACUGUGGCAUUAUUGUUCCGCAUUUUCCUCUCGAGGAGUCUUUCAGACACUCGUUUGGCACCAGUAUUACAAUUUCUGCAGUUUCCGCUCGAGGUGUCAUUCAGACCCUCGCUUGGCACCCAAUAUUUAUUACCUCUAUGUCUGAUCGCACUGGUUAAUUUGUUCAUGUGCUUCAGGUUUACAUUUAUUAUACCUUAUGUCCGAACUGUCUUGUGAGUACUUUCAUAGUACUCACCUGGCUUGUUGAUUUGGCCAGAUGUUGACGAAGGCGAUCUCCUGGAUGAAGAGUUUGAUAGCGCGUCCGACGCCUAGAGGAGUCCCAGUCAGUCCUGCGCGAUCCCGGAUUUUGGUCACUUGUAUUGUUUACGCUUCCGCCACCCGCAAUAAGUCUUCUCGAGCCUCACUCCGACGCUCGAUGAGUUGUAGUCUUCUGGAAUCAUAUCACUCGCUUCGCGGUGAUAUUUCCACCACCGUUAUCACCGUGAGUUAGUAGUUGCCACCAUAUCCGCCGUUUUGUUUUUAGCGGCGUGCAUGUAAUAAAUUGUUGGGCAGUCCCUGCUCAACCUUGUAUUAUAUUUAGUACUCCUGGUAUUUUUCUUCUGUGACCAAGAUAUUGUCUAUCAGUGAGAAGGAAUUCUUCCUCGCUGGUCCGUAAAAGGGAUCGGUCUCUCAAUAAUUAUUUUAUUGAAAAACCGGUCGCGACAAGCUUGGUAUCAGAGCCAGGCUGACUGUAGAAAGCCACUAGGUGCGAUCGCUAAUCGGUUAUUAGCGUCUUUUGCGCUUUUUCAGCUUUUUGCAAUUGUAGCUAUUUUCUGUUGGUCAUCAUAAAUUUAUGACAUGACUACUCAGAAUUUUUGCCUACUUUUGUAGAUGGCUGGCGGCAGCUGUGAGAAUCGAGUGUUCACCAACGUGCCCGAGGGGUUUGUCAAGCUCCUCGUCUCCAUCACCAAGCUCGCGAUCGGGCCAGCAGCUUGCCCGGAGUUCACACUCUAUCAGCACAAGCUCAGUGACGACGUGUCUAUGCACCAAGCUGUGGUGCAGUUCAGGGGAGGACGUUCUGCUGCUCGUCACUUCCGUUUUACGGGAAGGGCCAUGCCUACGGAGAGGCAUGCCAUGCAGAUGGCUGCCCGUGAGGCGAUAGCUCGCCUUCGGGACAUCCUUCCUACGAUGAAGACUCGUCGCUACCGCUACCUCCCAUGCCAUGUGCCCUACACCAGCCACUAUGCGUUCGCCUGCCAUCGGGGAGAACGAGAUGAAGCCAUCUAGAUGGUUGUGGAGUAUCUCAAGGCUCUGGAGGAGUCUUUCGACAACCUUGUAGAUGAUCUUGUGGCUGCCCGCAUGGACUUAGUCCGGGGCGGUCCUGCCAGCAGGAAGGAGCUUCUCCACACGGCGCCGCCUUUGACAUUCGUCUCAUCUUCAGCCUUGUAUGCACCGGCCGUCUUGGCCACUGCUCGCCGUCUGCCUACCACUGAGGAGUUCGACCGAGUCAUCGCUCCUACUCCAGUCAGAGCCGCACCGCCUGCUGCACGCGGCCUACCACCAGUCGCCCCCGCACCAUCACCGCAGCGCAACGUCCCGCGCCAGGAGCCAGCUAGAGAGGAGGAGGUUGAUUCUCCUGGACCGCUGAGCCUUGCCUCCGGCAAGGGGAAGGAGAUCUUCACCAUCUCCGACUGAGAGCACCGAGUAGCAGCGUGUCAUGCCUGCUUGUAUGAUGUGUUGUUUUAUCUAUACGCUAGUUUGUAUUGGUGUGUUUGCUGCCUUCCGGAGUAGUACGCUAGUUUUAAUAACAUGUUAGGAUUGUGUACACACAUCCUGAGUGCUGUAUCUUGUGUUUGCUUUUCGCAUGUAAGGUUUAUGUUAAGCACUUCUUCUCCAUGAAAAAAUCAUUUGUGUUUCUUUGAAAACCUUGAAACCUUUUUAUUUUUGCCUUUGCGAGAUUUUUGUGCUACACAAUUUUUUUUUCUCAUGGGUUCUGCAAAUAAUACCCCAGACUGGAAAAAUGUCUCGCCCAUGGACUCGCUCCAUGCCCAAUCAGCCAGAAGAGGUUUACGGGACACAGACCAACAACAAUUUCACUCAGGGUCAGUCCAGCCAACAAGACAGCGAAGCGGCACUGUCUCAAGUAUGCCGUCUCUUCGAGCAAAGCCAGCAACAGCACCAAGAGAUGAUGAACCAUGUCAUCAACAUGGGAAACCACCGUGAACCCUAUCAACCCCAUUCCAAGUUAUCUGAAUUACAGAAGACUCGCCCCUCAACUUUUGCUCACACCGACAGACCGCUGGAAGCUGAUGAUUGGCUUCGUGAGAUUGAAAGGAAACUGAUUAUUGCUCAGUGCUCAGAUCAUGAGAAGGUGCUUUAUGCACCACACUACCUUACUGGAGCAGCCGCAGCAUGGUGGGAAAACUUCCUACACAUGCAUCCCAGGGAACACAACAUCACCUGGGAAGAGUUCAAGGAAGGCUUCCAUGGGGCACACAUCCCCAGGAGCAUCCUAAAGAUCAAGAAGAGAGAGUUCGAUGACCUGAAGCAAAGAGGCAUGUCAGUGACCGAGUACAAUGGUCAAUUCACCCAGCUGUCUCGUUAUGCCUACGACGAGCACAUGACAGAAAACAAGAAGAUGGAAAAAUUCCUGGAUGGCCUGGCACCAGCGUUAAGAUGCCAACUGAUCGUGCACACCUUUCCGGAUUUUAAGACGCUGGUGGACAAGGCCAUCACCCUGGAGAAUGAGCGCCGUAGUCUGGAAGAUAUCCGCAAGCGAAAGAGGGACAAGACGACUCUUGCCCGCAGCAACCGAGGCAAGACUGAGGUCCCAAGGACAGACACAAGGAGACCCACGACUACUGAGCCAAGACCUGUCGGACAAUUUCAUGCCAGAGACAAGGAGUUCACAUACCGUCCAGGGGUCACCUGCUAUGCUUGUGGUCAACAAGGGCAUUAUGCUAAACAGUGCCCGAAGCCAAGAGACUCGGCACCCAAGCCGAACAAUGGUGGAAACAAUCCAGCCCCCAAGCGCAACAACUUCAACCCCAGCAACAACCACAGGAAGGGUCACCUGAACCAUGUGACCAGGGAAGAAGCGCAGAAUGCCCCAGACAUCGUGCUCGGUACGUUCCCUGUCAACACAGUACCUGCCACGGUUUUGUUUGAUUCUGGAGCUUCCCAUUCGUUCGUUUCGAAGAGUUUUGUUUCGCAACAUGGUUUUCCGAUACUUCCCUUGGAAAAAUCUAUGAUCAUCAAGUCCCCCGGAAAUAAGCAAAUCGCUCAAGGUUACUGCCAAGGAGUGGUCAUUGAGUUCGAAGGACUACAGUUCCACGCGAAUCUCAUCGUGUUGGAAAGUAAAGGACUGGAUGUCAUUUUAGGGAUGGACUAGUUGACCACCAACAAAGGAUUCAUCGACUGUUUCAAUCGGACAGUGAUUCUCACUCACCAUCACGGCAAGACUAUAAGAGUUUCUGCCCAAGAAAGGCCACGAUCACAGCAACCAAAACUGAACAAAAUGGACAUUGCAGAACUGAGGAAAGUUCCAGUGGUAUGCGAGUUCCUUGAUGUGUUUCCUGAAGAACUACCAGGCAUGCCACCAGACCGAGAGAUCGAAUUCAGCAUUGAACUAGCACCUGGCACCGCUCCCAUCUAUAAGAAGCCUUAUAGAAUGGCACCCUCAGAAUUGGUGGAGUUGAAGAAGCAGAUAAAAGAAUUAUUGGACAAAGGAUUUAUUCGACCUAGCUCCUCACCAUGGGGUUCGCCUGUGUUGUUCGCUAAGAAGAAAGAUGGGACACUGAGGCUAUGCAUAGACUAUCGAGCCCUCAACAUGGUCACCAUCAAAAACAAAUAUCCGAUGCCACGGAUCAAUGAUUUGUUUGACCAGCUCGCACAAGCCAAGGUAUUUUCAAAGAUUGAUUUGAGAUCGGGAUACCAUCAACUGAAGGUACGGACAAAAGACAUUCCCAAGACAGCUUUCACUUCCAGAUAUGGGUUAUACGAGUUUACCGUGAUGCCUUUUGGACUAACGAACGCCCCCGCAUAUUUCGUCCACCUCAUGAACAAGGUAUUCAUGAAAUUCAUGGACAAAUUUGUGGUGGUAUUCAUUGACGAUAUUCUGGUUUACUCAAGGACACCGGAAGAGCAUGCUGAGCACCUCAGGAUUGUUUUGGGAGAAUUGAGGAAACAUCAGUUGUACGCCAAAUUUAGCAAGUGCGAAUUUUGGCUAAGACAAGUUGGUUUCUUGGGCCAUAUAUUGAACCAAGAAGGCGUGGCCGUAGACCCAGAAAAAGUCAAGGCCAUACUAGACUGGAAGCCACCCGCCAAUGUUGCAGAUGUGCGGAGUUUCCUAGGAAUGGCCGGAUAUUACAGGAGAUUUAUUGAAGGUUUCUCCACUGUGGCAAAACCUAUGACACAAUUACUCAAGAAGGACAAGAAAUUCAUAUGGACGGAAGCAUGUGAGCAGAGCUUCCAAGAACUCAAGAAGAAGCUGACAACCGCACCGGUCUUAACUGUGCCAGACAUACACAAGAGCUUUGAAGUGUAUUGUGACGCGUCCCGAAAAGGUCUCGGAUGUGUGCUAAUGCAGGAUGGCAAAGUUGUCGCAUAUGCCUCCAGGCAGCUGCGAAAACAUGAGGAAAAUUACCCAACACAUGACUUGGAGCUAGCAGCAGUUAUACAUGCACUUAAGGAGUGGAGGCACUUUCUAUUGGGAAAUCGCUGUGAAAUAUACACGGACCAUAAGAGCCUCAAAUAUAUUUUCACACAGCCAGAGCUAAAUUUACGCCAACGACGCUGGUUGGAACUGGUCAAGGACUAUGACGUCGGUAUUCACUACCACCCGGGGAAGGCAAAUGUAGUGGCCGAUGCCCUUAGUCGAAACCCCAGCCCGGACAGUGACGGUCAGCAAAAUUUGAGGUCUGAAUUUCAGCGAGAGUUCACUAGGCUCAACAUGAUGUUAGUCUCCGAGGGCACCGUAUCGAACCUGGAGAUACAACCCACCCUAGUGGAACAAAUCAAGAAGGCUCAACAGGGACAUCCCAGCAUUGAAGGCAUAAAGAAGAAAAUGAAUCUUAGUAAGACUUCAGAGUUCGUCACAGACAGUGAAGGGACAUUAUGGUACCGAGACAGACUUUGCGUACCUAACAUUGAGGAACUCAAGCAACAGAUCUUGACGGAAAGCCACACCGCCCCAUACUCGAUCCAUCCUGGAGGAACCAAAAUGUACAAGGACAUCCAGGAAAGAUUUUGGUGGCACGGUAUGAAAAGAGAUAUAGCCACGUUCAUUGCUUGUUGCGAUUCAUGUCAGCGCAUCAAGGCCGAGCACCAAAAGCCAGUAGGGCUACUCCAGCCUAACAGGAUACCGGAGUGGAAAUGGGAUGAAAUUGGAAUGGACUUCAUUGUCGGAUUACCCCGAUCACAACACGGAAAUGACGCCAUAUGGGUCAUCACAGACCGACUAACCAAGGUUGCUCAUUUCAUUCCCGUGAAGACUACCUACUCCACACAAAGACUGGCAAAACUUUAUCUCUCCCAUAUCGUUUGCUUGCACGGAGUCCCAAAGACUAUAAUAUCAGACCGAGGCACCCAAUUCAUCUCCAAAUGUUGGGAUCACCUACAACAAGCUCUGGGCACGCAACUAGCUUUCAGUACAGCAUACCACCCUCAGACUGAUGGACAGACGGAACGUGUAAACCAAAUCCUAGAGGAUAUGCUAAGAGCCUGUGUGCUCACCUAUGGAUCCAGUUGGGAAGAAAGUUUGCCGUAUGCCGAAUUUGCUUACAACAACAGUUACCAAGCCAGCUUGCAAAUGGCACCCUUUGAAGCGUUGUACGGGCGAAGGUGUCGUACCCCUCUGAAUUGGUCAGAAACAGGUGACAGCCGUAUCUUCGGCCCAGACAUGCUUAAAGAGGCCGAGGAGAAAGUUAAACAAAUCAGGGACAAACUCAAGACAGCACAGAGCCGACAAAAGAGGUACUACGAUCAGAAGCAUCGAGAGGUCAGCUUUGAACCCGGUGAUUCCGUAUACCUCCGAGUAUCUCCAAUGAGGGGUCUGCAACGAUUCAAGAUUAAGGGGAAGCUAGCCCCAAGAUUUAUUGGACCAUUUUGUGUAAAGGCACAAAGAGGCACGGUUGCCUACCAGCUAGACCUACCCAAGGAGCUGUCAGACAUCCAUGACGUGUUCCACGUCUCACAGCUAAGAAAAUGUGUGACCAACCCAGAAAAGCAUGUACCUCAUGAGGACAUUGAUAUGCAACCAGAUCUCACCUACAGAGAAAGUCCAGUAAAGAUCUUAGAAGAGUCUGAACGGAGGACCCGUCAGAAAACGACAUAGUUUUUCAGGGUUCAGUGGAGCAACCACACGGAGGAUGAAGCUACAUGGGAAAGGGAGGAUUUCCUUCGAGCAGAGUAUCCAUACCUAUUUGAGGGUCAGCAGAGAUCUCGAGGACGAGAUUUUUCCUAAGGGGGUAGGUGUUGUGACACCCAAGUUUUUUAUUUGGAUUUUUCAAAAGAUUUUUAUUUAACUUGAGGGGAGUGAUUUAAAUUUUUCCUCAAGAGAACUCCCCCUCUCAUAUAAUUUUUCCUUAUGGCAAAAACUUUAUUGGGAUUCACCCAAGAUCUGCCUUUGGUCUUGGAAGUCCUUGCUUUUCAUUUGGACUCAAGACAAAAUGUUUUUCAUUUGGGAAAAUUAACUUUUGAAAACCUUUUUGAAUUUUUGCACUAUGGCUUUUGGAAAGUCCUUUGCCACUUUCAACAAUUCCUCCUUGCCAUGGCCCUAGUGCAAAUGCUCUCUCCUAACCCUUCCCUCACCUUUGGAUCAUGUGUUACACCAAAUCCAGCAAGUUGAACCUCCCCAUGUAUCUAUUUCCAUUCAAAUUAUAUUCAAACAAAUUUUUGUCCUCUAUUCUACCACUUCGAGGUUCACAAAGGAACUCCUUUUUCUGUUUUGAUUUUUGCCACCAAACCAACUCUCCCUCCUAGUCCUUUGAAACCCCAACCUAGAACUAUGAAGAUCCACUGGUCUUCAGUUCAAAAUUUUCAAACUACACUUGCUGCAAGUUUGGACCAUAUUUGUCAAAUUUGGUGAAAUUCAUUCAAAACCUUCUCCAAAAAUUCCAAGUAAAAUCAGGCAGCCCCUGGGUGCUUUGAGUGGUCAUCUCACCAAGUUACAGCUCCAGAAAAAUUUAUCUCAUGGCCAAAACCUCCUGUCGAACACCUGCAGUGCAUGGUCAUUGUCAAGUUCAGAGUUUCAGAGUUUCAGUCAAGUGGCUGCUGUCGUUUUCUUCAGAAGCGGACGUCGAUCUCGCCAGUGCCACCGCGUCGCCUUGCUCCUCGUCCCCGCCCUCUUGUUCCUGCACCGCACGAACGCCUGGCGCCUUGCGGGCGUCGGCGACGAGCAGCAGAAGGUGCGCCGCCCCGUGACCGACGCCGGCGGCGGCUUUGCGGACGCCAGCGGGAGACACGGCGCCGACGACGCCACCCAACGCCGCCCAAACCACCGGAGCUCGCCGCGUGGCCUUCCACUUCCCCGAACGCGCUGCCGCUCUCGUCGUGAACCGCAGGGCGCGGAGCGCGCUCUCUGCCGCCGUUGAGCCCGUGCGUCACCUCACCGUGGACCGACGCCAUUACGCCAAGACCAACCCCGUUUAGCUGUAAAACGAAUCCAGUAACCUCCACUGAUGCUGCCCGGCCGCUCAAACCACCUGCCAACCCACUGCUCCGCCCUAAUCGCUCGCCGGAGAUUCUCCGUUCACGGCCACCCCGUCGAUCUGCCUAUAAAUAGAGGCCCCGAGCUUCAACUCGAGCACCCACCAGCCCUGCACUCCCCCUAGAGCACGCCUAGCCACUGGAAGAGCCCCGAGGAGGUCUCCUUCCUCGGCUCCGGCCGCCGCGACCCGCCACGGGAUCCAGCCCGAUUCGCCCCCGUGUGUGCCCCUCCGCCUCCAUUCUCUUGCCAGUAGCUUCACCUUGCAUCACUCGUUCUGACCCGCGCCUCAUUCGUAGUUUGCAGCCCUCCACCGGAGUUCCCCAUCCUCACCCGAGCCGCCGUCGACGUGGUGCUCCCCGUUGGACGAGUCCACCACCCACCGACGCGGAAGAAGGCGCUGAAGCUCUUGGUACCCUCCGUUUCUCCUAACUCGCCGUGCUUCGACGCUGGCGUCCACCGCAGUCUUCGGGCGUCGGCGAGCUUUUCAAACCUGACAUGUGGACCCCGCGUGUCAGCCUCUGUUCUUUUAUUCGCGAACCGUUUUCUGUUGGCUCCUUCGGGAAAAAUACGUCUUCUCCUUUGCGCUUGCGCAUUCCCAGCCGAAGCGUUUUCUGUUUUCUCAGUUAAAACCCUGGAACUUUUCUGUUUCAUUACAGAUAAGUCCCUGGACAGAAACCUUUAUAACUUUUUAAUAAAAAGGUAUUUUUGAGUGAAUCUUUUUCUGACAAUCUUCAAAUUUUGUCUAGUUUUUUAUGGGAUUUAUUUGAAAAAUAUUUGGAAAAGUCUCUGUGUAUGUGUUGGUUUUCACGUUAGUAUCCGUUUCGUGAUUGCCGUAGGUUCCGGGAGAGGAGACGGAGCCACGAACUUCGCCGAGCUAGACUCCGACGUCUCCGAACCAGGCAAGCAUGUUUUGAACAUUUGAUAUGACAGAUGUUUUUCAUGUUCACAUGAAAGUUUUGUGCGUGGCAUAUGAGUGUCGGUAAAUGCCUCGUUGCUUGUAAGGCAACGACCCAGUUGUUCCAGAGUUGCGAUGAUCUCUGAUGAGAGAUGGCCUAAUCAUGUGAUGACAUGAAGGGUAGCAAGGUGGUACUGUUGUAGCAUACCAGCCUUGUGUCAUCCAACUCUUCCGACGUUAACAUGGUUGGAGCCGUGUUAUCGUUCUUUCCCCAUUCCAUGCUACCACAUGUCUCAUUGCCAGGGUACGGUUUAGUAAGUUGGUAACCUCUUCCCAUGUACACACCAAACAGAGAGGCCGGGAUGAUGGUACCUUGGCCCAGGAUUAAAGCCAGUCAUCCGGUCAGGGGGCAUGGGUGUUUCCGGUUGGGACCGAGAGGGGGGGCACCCCCUUAGAGCGCGCGUAUAAAAAUUUGAUCCCAUGCUACGCGAGGUUGUAGCCUCCCCGUCUCAAGGUUUUUCUUGGACGUUGCCGAGGGUGAUCCUUGGCUUCGGAUGGUUGAAUUGGGUGUGUACUGGUUAGACGUGUUCCUUCCAAAACACCGUAGACGGAACUAGUCCCCGAGACUACUGAAAUCCGUUGGCUGUGGUUAAGUACAAACUCUGCAGAGUCAAUUCUUUUCAAAUCAUCGUAUCCAUGAUCAAGCAGUGUAAGUAUUAUAUCCAUAUCCAUCUGUGUGAAAAACUUGUCCCCGGAGAACAAGCUCAAGUGGUAAAUUCAGAUUUUAUUGUUAUUCCUGUGGAUGGACUAACUUUAUAUUUCUCUCAUGCUUGUGAUACUUAUGUUCCCGAACCAAUGUAUUAUUGAGUUGUGAUAUAAGCCCUUUAUGAGACGUCGCGCAGAUGUCCGACUGUGGCGUGUUCUUGUUCUUUACUUUAAAUAUAAGCCCUUUCUGUGAUGUCGCUCAGACGUCCGACUGUGGCAUGCACUGCCUUUAUUUUCUGUAAUAAGCCCUUUAUGUGGUGUCGCCCCGACGCCCGACUGUGGCAUUAUUGUUCCGCAUUUUCCUCUCGAGGAGUCUUUCAGACACUCGUUUGGCACCAGUAUUACAAUUUCUGCAGUUUCCGCUCGAGGUGUCAUUCAGACCCUCGCUUGGCACCCAGUAUUUAUUACCUCUAUGUCUGAUCGCACUGGUUAAUUUGUUCAUGUGCUUCAUGUUUACAUUUAUUAUACCUUAUGUCCGAACUGUCUUGCGAGUACUUUCAUAGUACUCACCUGGCUUGUUGAUUUGGCCAGAUGUUGACGAAGGCGAUCUCCUGGAUGAAGAGUUUGAUAGCGCGUCCGACGCCUAGAGGAGUCCCAGUCAGUCCUGCGCGAUCCUGGAUUUUGGUCACUUGUAUUGUUUACGCUUCCGCCACCCGCAAUAAGUCUUCUCGAGCCUCACUCCGACGCUCGAUGAGUUGUAGUCUUCUGGAAUCAUAUCACUCGCUUCGCGGUGAUACUUCCACCACCGUUAUCACCGUGAGUUAGUUGUUGCCACCAUAUCCGCCGUUUUGUUUUUAGCGGCGUGCAUGUAAUAAAUUGUUGGGCAGUCCCUGCUCAACCUUGUAUUAUAUUUAGUACUCCUGGUAUUUUUCUUCUGUGACCAAGAUAUUGUCUAUCAGUGAGAAGGAAUUCUUCCUCGCUGGUCCGUAAAAGGGAUCGGUCUCUCAAUAAUUAUUUUAUUGAAAAACCGGUCGCGACAAGACCCGUUGACUAAGGCUCUCUCACGAGCAAAACAUGAUCAACACUAAGACUCCAUGGGUGUUAGAAUCAUUACUAUGUAAUCUAGAUUAUUGACUCUAGUGCAAGUGGGAGACUUAAGGAAAUAUGCCCUAGAGGCAAUAAUAAAGUUCUUAUUUAUAUUUCCUUAUAUCAUGAUAAAUGUUUAUUAUUCAUGCUAGAAUUGUAUUAACCGGAAACUUAGUACAUGCGUGAAUACAUAGACAAACAGAGUGUCACUAGUAUGCCUCUACUUGACUAGCUCGUUAAUCAAAGAUGGUUAAGUUUCCUAGCAUAGACAUGAGUUUUCAUUUGAUGAACGGGAUCACAUCAUUAGAGAAUGAUGUGAUUGACAUGACCCAUCCGUUAGCUUAGCACUAUGAUCGUUUAGUUUAGUUUAUUGCUAUUGCUUUCUUCAUGACUUAUACAUGUUCCUAUGACUAUGAGAUUAUGCAACUCCCGAAUACCGGAGGAACACUUAGUGUGUUAUCAAACGUCACAACGUAACUGUGUGAUUAUAAAGAUGCUCUACAGGUGUCUCCAAUGGUGUUUGUUGAGUUGGCAUAGAUCGAGAUUAGGAUUUGUCACUCCGAUUGUCGGAGAGGUAUCUCUAGGCCUUCUUGGUAAUACACAUCACUAUAAGCCUUGCAAGCAAUGUAACUAAUGAGUUAGUUACAGAUGAUGCAUUACGGAAUGAGUAAAGAGACUUGCUGGUAACAAGAUUGAACUAGGUAUAGUGAUACCGAUGAUCGAAUCUCGAGCAAGUAACAUACCGAUGACAAAGGGAACAACGUAUGUUGUUAUGCGGUUUGACAGAUAAAGAUCUUCGUAGAAUAUGUGGGAGCCAAUAUGAGCAUCCAGGUUCCGCUAUUGGUUAUUGACCGGAGAUGAGUCUCGGUCAUGUCUACAUAGUUCUCGAACCCGUAGGGUCCACACGCUUAACGUUCGAUGACGAUCGGUAUUAUGAGUUUAUGUGUUUUGAUGUACCGAAGGUAGUUCGGAGUCCCGGAUGAGAUCCCGGACAUGACGAGGAGUCUCGGAAUGGUCGAGACAUGAAGAUUGAUAUAUUGGAAGACUAUAUUCGGACACCAGAAUAGUUCCGAGGUGUAUCGGGUAUUUUCCGGAGUACCGGGGGGUUACGAGAACGCCCCGGGGGGUUAUUGGGCCUCAUGGGCCUAGUAGUGGAAGAGAGGAGGCAGGCCAAAUUAAAGGGUGGCGCGCGCCCCCUAGCCCAAACCGAAUUGGACUAGGGGGCCGGCCCCCCUUUCCUUCUCUCCUCCCUCUCCUUCCCCCUUCUCCUUGUUGGAAUACGAAAGGGGGGAGGGGGCGAAUCCUACUUGGAGUAGGAUUGCCCCCCCAUGGUGCGCCUUCUCCUCCUGGCCGGCCUCCUCCUCCCUCCCUCCUUUAUAUACGUGGGAGGCGGGCACCCCAAAGGCACACCAAAGUUUCUCUUAGCCAUGUGUGGUGCCCCCUCCACAGAAACACACCUCGGUCAUAUCGUCAUAGUGCUUAGGUGAAGCCCUGCACCGGUAACUUCAUCAUCACCGUCAUCGCGCCGUCGUGCUGACGAAACUCUCCCUCGGCCUCAGCUGGAUCAAGAGUUCGAGGGAUGUCACCGAUCUGUACGUGUGCAGAUCGCGGAGGUGCCGUGCGUUCGGUACUUGAUCGGUUGGAUCGCGAAGACGUUAGACUACAUCAACCGCGUUACUAAACGCUUCCGCUUUCGGUCUACGAGGGUACGUGGACACACUCUCCCCACUCGUUGCUAUGCUUCUCCUAGAUAGAUCUUGCGUGAUCGUAGGCAAAUUUUUGAAAUACUACGUUUCCCAACACUUCUACGCUUUGCGUGUUGAUCAACUUGAUUCACACUUGACUUAGCCUUGAUCAACCUUGUAUCAUGUCUUCUACAUGACCAAUCUUUGGAUAAUUCCUUGAAUAGCACCUUGGAAAACACAUAAACUCCUUGAAACCAACACAUGGACUUCAAGAAAAACCUAUGGACAAAUCCUUCAAAUAUAACUCAAGCCAACCACUAGUCCAUAGAGAACGUCAUCAACUGCGUGUUGAUCAACUUGAUUCACACUUGACUUAGUCUUGAUGAACCUUGUAUCAUGUCUUCUACAUGACCAAUCUUUGGAUAAUUCCUUGAAUAUCACAUUGGUCAACACAUAAACUCCUUGAAACCAACACAUGGACUUCAAGAAAAACCUAUGGAAAAAUCCUUCAAAUAUAACUCAAGGCAACCAUUAGUCCAUAGAGAAUGUCAUCAAUUACCAAAACCAAACAUGGGGGCACCGCAUGUUCUUUCAGAAAACCCCUAUACAAAUGGUAACAUGCAUAGUUCGAGUACUGCAAAUUAAUCACAGUGAUGAAGCUUAAUCAGAUGGUGAUUACCUGAGUUGCAUGGAUUUAAUUAUAGUGAGUUGUUAACUUGACAACCAAAAUAAGAAAAGGGUUGGUUUCCUAAAACUCUAAUACUCAUGGUGGUUCCACCUUAAAGAGUACAUGAACACAAAUAAAAAUAAAGAAAGAAAAUUGCCAUUAAAUAGGAAUGAAUUAGUGGAAAUACCCAUGAAUUAGGAGUUUUCCAAGAAUGAAUGAAUGGAUUAUAGCAACAUUGGUAUUACCCUUAAAAGAAAUAAAAUAUAAAAAACAAAUCAAAUAAUAACAAUUUGCACAAAUUUUACAUGGCAAUUGAAAUAUGGAAGAAUAAGCAUAUAACAGUGAAAGUUUCACAAAACAAAUCUAAAAAGGAAUGAAUUAGUGACAUUGUUAUUAUGUACCCUUAAACAAGAAAGAAAAUGUGUGUUCAAAAAAAUUGAAAUUAAAGUUACAAAAAAUCAAAAUAAUGAAAUUUACAAGGAAUAAUGAAUUAUUGGCAUUGUUAUUACCCUUAAAGAAGAACUAAAAUGAAAUAAAAACUAAAACAAAAAUCCAAAUAAUGAAAUUUUAUAAGGAAUAAUGAAUUAAUAACAUUGUUGUUACCCUUAAAGAAGAAAGAAAAUGAAAUAAAAGCUAAAAGAAAAUCAACAUAAUGAAAUUUUACAAGGGAUGAUGAAUUAGUGACAUUGGUAAUACCCUUAAAAAAGGAAAGCCGGAAAAGGAAACUAACACCAAAUCAAAAAUAUUGAGUUUUAUAAGGAGGAAUUAAUUAGUGGCAUUGGUAUUACCCUUUAAGAAGAAGAAAUAAUUAAAUUUUCUAAGAAAAAAUGAGUUAGUAUCAAUACCAAUGAAUUAGUAGUUGCUAAGAAGGAAUGAAUAAGUUGUGUUGAUAUUACACUUAAAAAUAAAUAAAAUGUGAAAAAUUAAAUCAAAUAAUGACUCAAUUUGCACACAAUUUACACAAAAUGCAAUUUUUUUAGAAAAAUACAAGAAUAAGUCUAUAAUUGCGAAAGUUUCGCAAAACACAGGUUUCUAAGAUGAAAUUAAUUAGUGGCAUUUUUAUAACCCUUAAAGAAGAAAGAAAAUGGAAAUUUUUUUAAAAUCAAACUAAUAAAUUUUACAAGGAAGAUGAAUUAGUGGCAUUGAUAUUAUAUGGAAGAAUGAAUUAGUGGCAUUCGCAUUACCCUCAAAGAAGAAAGCAAAAUGAAAAAGAAACUAAAACAAAAUCAAAAGAAUGAAGUUUUAUAAGAAAGAAUAAAUAAGUGGCAUUGGUAUUAACCUUUAAGAAGAAAGAAAAUGAAAGAAAAACUACAACAAAUCAAAAUAAUGAAGUUUUCUUAGAAACAAUGAAUUAUUGACAUUCGUAUUACCCUUUAAGAUGAAGAAAAUUGAAAAAAAAUGAAACAGAUAAUGGCAAAAAUUGCACUAAAUUUACACAAAAUUUUCGGUUUUUCAUUAUGUGCAAGAAUAAGCAUAUAAUAGUGGAACUUUCGCAAAACAUAAGUUUUCUAAGAAAAAAUGAAUUAGUGGCAAUGUCAUUACUCUUUAAGAAGAAGAAAUGUGAAAAAUAAUGACAAAAAUUGCACAUUUUCAUAAUAUGCAACAAUGAGCAUAUAAUAGUGGAAUUUUCACAAAUAAGAAGUUUCCUCGGGAACAAGUUAGUGGCAUUGGUAUUUUUCCCUUAAAGAAGUAAUAAACUAAAAUAAAAACUAAACAAAUUAAAAUAAUGAAGUUUUAAAGAAGAAUAAACUAGUGGCAGUGGUAUCACUCUUUAAGAAGAAAAUCAAAAUAGCUUGCACACAACUUUGCACUAAAAUUGCACCUUUUAAAUAUGCAAUAAAUAAACGUAGAAUAGAGUAAUUUUCACACUCUAGUGUGAUUUACACACAUGCUCUAUAGUACUUGAGUGUAUAUAUUUGCACUCAUCCAAUAUGUAAAAAGUACCCAUGCAAAAAAAAAGACAGGCUAAAAAAUAAAAAUAAAAGCAAAAGCAAAAAUGGUUAAAAAAGGUAAUGUAUAACGGGCUUCACAUAAAAUAAUCGAUUUACCCCAAACAUGAGCAAGUCAAAAAAUUCAGCCUAAGAAAAAAAUCGACUUAGCGUAAACAAGGACAAGUAAAAAAAUUCAGCCUAUGAUUUAUUUUUUUAUUUUUUGCGGGAAAGCCUAUGUAAGGAAUUGACUUACCCAAAACAGGGCAAGUAAAAAAUCAGCCUAAACACACAUACAAGAAACUUUUUUUUUAGCGACUUACAUAUACUACUAUACUAAAGCUGCUAAGCUAGCAGCGCUAUCGUUCAUUUCAAGUGUAUUGGCGAGAGUGCCUUUCCUGUUGACACGUGUUCAAAUUUUCCAUUUGAUUUAGUGUGUACUGUUUUUCUUAACACAAUAUAAAUUACACUGCUUUUUAAUACAGUACAAACGCAUACGGUCAUACAUACACACAUACACUCAUACAUAUGAAUGCAUGACGUACACCAUAUCCACAUGAGCAUCUCCGAGAGACUGAGCCGUCACAUCAUCUUGAGAUUAAGUGCAGAUUGUGCUGGUUUUUUAACAUAGUACAGACGCAUACGCUCAUACAUACACACAUACAUUCAUCCGUAUGAAUGCUUGCCCGCAAACCCUACCACAUGAGCAUCUCCGAGAGAUUGAGCUGCGACAUCAUCUUGAGAUUGACGAAGUCUUCAGAUACGUUUACAUAGUUGACGGAUACGUCUUCUCUCAUUCAGCGCACAUCGCCGGGAGGCCUACAAUAAAUCUAGAAAAAUGCGAGUACGAAUGUCAAGUCCGGGACUUGAACCCUGGUGGGUAGGGAAUACCACUAUCCUCCUAACCAUCGAACCACAGAUCGAUUCACUCUACAUACUGGUUUUUUCUUUUGUGUUUGCUACCUCUUUUAACGCAAUACAAUGCAUAUGCCAGCAUACACGUGUAUAUAAUCACCCCUACAAACGCACGCACGCACGCAUACCUUACCCCUAUGAGUAUAUACCUGAUACUGAGCCGACGCAACAUUUUUAGAUUGACGAAGUCAUCGCCGAUGCUUUCGUAGUCGACGGGAACGUCUCCUCCUACUGAACGCACAUCGCCGAAAGCCAUGGAAUAAAUCCAGAAAAAUAAGAGCACCAGUGCCAUGUCUAUGAAUCACCGGAAGCCAUGGAAUAAAUUCUGGAAAAUGCGAGCACCAGUGCCAAGUCUAUGAAUUAAACCCUGAUGGCAUAACAUUAUAAGGAUCGUUUUCUAAGCCCCUAUUCGCUGAUUAUGGUGUCCUUUAUGUGAAAAAAUAUUUCACGCUUAGCCAUUAGAGAUAUAGAAAAUGCUACGAGAAGGGGAACCUACAGCUAAAUUUCGACGCCAUUGCAUAGGAUACUUCUUUUCCACGGCCGGCCUCCUACUUCAGAGUAGAUAUUUGACAUUUCAAAGUAAAUGAAAAAAAAGAAUGUACUAUCACCACUGGAGAGGCAAACCAUAUGUGUUACUAAAUGAUCCAACUAUUUUAGCAUGUCAAUCUUUUGUUUCACAUUUGCUUAUGAUUGCUUGUACUUCACUGGCUUUUCUUUUCUCAUUAGCAAAUUUGUACAUCUAGCCAAUGAAAUAUAACCCAUAAUGUCCAUUGUUCUUAAUAACAACAAUAACAAGUGUAUAAGUCAAGGCCACUUCCACGGGCACGGCGUGUCGCCGCGCCUUCACCCGCUAAGUAUAGCUAAAGUUCUAUUUUAUCAGGGAGAAGCGAGAAACGUUUUUUCCUUUGAAAUUUUCAGCCGGGCCGUGUGGUCAGCGUCUAGAGAGAGUCGAGCCGAUGGAAUCUUUCAUGGAAUAUAUCCUCGUGAAAGAAGACGGCAAACGUUCAACUCGCCUUACCGGUUGACCUCCAAAGGAGAAGACUAGUAUGCAUGCACGGCAGUCGGUAGUCCCGUGGCAUCUACGCACAGGCACGGCAAGUCAAGCUCGCAGGGCGUUUGUGUCCGGAUCGCACAGCGCACUCACCUCAACCUGAUGGCAACAUACGCUGCGCCGGUCAACCGAGAUGUCUCGCGAACUCCCCCGGAAGCCGGCGAGUCCGACGACGUUCCUGUCAUGAGCGUUCGUGUUGGUCCGUUCAGAAAAACUUAUCUAGCUAGUCAACCUGACAGACACUUGCACGGCAAGGAAUUGUUAGAUUAUUAAGCACCAGCGCGCCGCCGCGCCACGGCUGUGCUGCACUGUCCAAGAAGCAACAAUAAACGGAAAAAAUUGGAACGUCGCAGUCGCAGCACUCGCAGCUGUAGCUGGUGGUCGAGUGCGCACAUGUCUUCUUUUUCUAGGGAGAGUGCCCACAUGUUGUCUGGUGACAUUCCCGGAAGCACCGUGCCGGCCGAGCCCCCUCCCUAUAAAACCAUCUCCGGCGAGACGUCGUCAAGCCAUCGGUCAGUUACCAGAUCAACACCAACAGUAAACAGAAAUCAUUUCCUAGCCCGCCAACAAAAACAGACUUCCCAUUCGAUCCGCUCACAAGCUUUUCGAUCGGUUUAGUUGUUCAACAAUCAACAGCCAACAGCUCCCGGAUGGCCGGAGCCACGCUUCUGCGCCACCUGGGCCCCCGCCUCUUCGCCGCCGCCGAGCCAGCCUCCGGGCUCGCCGCGAGCGCGAGGGGCAUCAUGCCCGCCGCCGCGAGGAUCUUCCCCGCG
This 60068-nucleotide long non-coding RNA is filed under the name Triticum aestivum (bread wheat). RNAcentral describes it as "long non-coding RNA (TAES_LNC024596)". The record is from RNAcentral. Lineage: Eukaryota; Viridiplantae; Streptophyta; Magnoliopsida; Poales; Poaceae.